RNAcentral lists this long non-coding RNA (52631 nucleotides) under Triticum aestivum (bread wheat). RNAcentral describes it as "long non-coding RNA (TAES_LNC005872)". The stretch from base 19256 to 19390 matches the Rfam family "MIR1120/MIR1122 microRNA precursor family". The record is from RNAcentral. Lineage: Eukaryota; Viridiplantae; Streptophyta; Magnoliopsida; Poales; Poaceae.
UUUUUUUUUCGUUUUUCUUCUGUAGUUUUUUUCUUCGGCUUUUCAAUGCUUUGUCCAGUUGGUGAUGGUUUUUUUGUUCCUUUUACCUUUCAUUCUUUUUUCUUUUUCUUUUAUUUUCCUUUAUGUUUUUUCUUCUCAUUUUUUGUGUGUUCACCGCGUAUAACAACAAUGUUCAUCGUAUAUUAAGACAUGUUCACCAUAUAUUAUGAUAAAUUUCACCAUGCAAUAUAAAAAAGUUCAUCAUGUAUUACAAAAAUGUUCAUCAUACAUUAAUAAAAUGUUCAUGAUAUAUUACAAAAACGUUCACCGUACAUUAUAAAAAAGUUCAUCAUGUUUUAAGAAUUUGUCCAAUGAAUACUAAAAAAAAUUCUCUGUGUAUUUGAAACUUGUUCAGCAUAUUUUACAAAAAUAUUCAAUGUGUAUUCGAAAAUUAUUAAAUUAAUAUUACAAAAUGUUCAUUGUAUAUUAAAAAAUUGUUCAGUGUAUAUUAUAAAAAAGUUCAACGUACACUUAAAAUUGUUCAGCGUAUAUAGAAUUUUGUUCAUGUUUUUCUGUUUUUGUUCACGUUUCUUUGUUAUAAAGGUUUUUUCUAAUUUUGAAAUGUGUUCACAUUUUCAAACGUUAUUCGCAUUUAUUAAGAAAGAUUGUUCAUAUUUUUUCAAAAAAAAACUGAAAAUUUUGAAGGGAAAAACGAAUCUGUCAUUACUCCUUUGUACUUAUACCUUGGCGUUGCAAUCAAGGAGAGCACGGUUGCUACCUCAACUGGGUCCCGACGGUGCUUCCUUCCUCGAGGUAGUGAGUUCGACUCCAUGUGUUAACUUAAUUUUUUCCUCAUUCCCGAAGUUUUACAUUGGACGCUGCUAACAGGCCGGCCCGUUUUGCGCGCCCUUUUAGUGAAAGGAGGUCGUAUUGACGCACACGGGCGUCGAGCAGGAACUCUCGUUCGCGCGGCGGGUUGCAGUGACGCAAGGGGCGGCUUGAUCCGGCUAGAGCGGGCUUUCUCCGGGUUGGCCCAAAUCUCCGGGUUGACUUUGUCUUCUCUGAGUUGGAGUUUUAGUGCAAAUACCCAUGAUGGCAGCAUUGGAUCGAAUCUUUUAGGAAAAUCCUUUGACCCGGCGACUUAACAUUCACCAAAAUAGCCAUAAGAUGGCGGCGCAAUCCUAACUCCUCUCAACUUUGUAUAAUCCACUGCUGAAAAAUUCCCUUGAUCUUUGACGGAUGAAACUCCGAUUGAUGUGAAUCCUUUUCAAACAGGUUAUUUUUCAAUUGAUUUUUUUGUAAAACUUCUCGAUCUCUGGAAAAGAUCUCUCCAAGAACUCAACACCAUCAUGCGCGGGCCCCACGGUGGGCGCCAACUGUCGUGGAAUUGUCACAUCAGAUGUCCUUAACGGAAGGAUUUAGUCGUGAGGCCAACGCAUCUAUGUGGUAGCUUGAGAGGGGUUGAGCGGAAUCGAGAAACGCAACACAAGACGAGGAUUUAGACAGCUUCGGGCCCCGGGAAACAUCAUCCGGUAACAACCCUACAUGCUGUUUAAGGCUAGAUCUCAUUAUCAUCACGAGGGAGUCGCCGUAAAUCGGCUCUCCUCUAAUUGUGUCUAGCCCUAGAGAUUGUUGUUUGCUUUCCCUCCUUUGAGGAGCCCUGCCCCUCCUUAUAUAUGUUGAAGGGGCGGGUUACAUGUGGAGUCCAACUCGGACUUUAACUUAAACUAUUUUGACUUCCCUUUCUGGGCUUCUUAACGUCUGCCGAUUUAACAUUGUUUGUCGGUUUAACAUUGUCUGCCGGUUUAACAUUGUCUGUCGGUUUAACAUCAGUCGGUUUGCCGUCUGUCUUAGCCAUCUAUCUUGACUCUCUGCCUUAACUCUCUGCCGGUUUACCAUUCGCCGGUUUACCAAGUCCCAGCCGGUUUACAACUCCAGCCGGGUCAUACCGCGGGGUAUAUCCCCGACAGUACCCACGCUAACAUGGAUUAGAGUGUGUGUCACAUAGUUAGUUAAUUGAAUUAGAGUAUGUGUCACGUAGUUAGUAUUUGAAUUAGAGUGUGUGUCAAGUAGCGAUCUCCAAUUCUAACGUGGAUUUCGCAUUUCACUGUAUCCAUGCUACUUUUUUAAUACAAAUUCAUAUGUAUAUGAUGAACACCAUGGUAGUGAGAAAACUUUUGGAUGGAUUCAAACAUAUGACCUACAAAAUAGCACAACAAACUUAGUCAAUGUCAACUUUUCGAAACUUAGUAUGGCACGAAUUCAAAAUAAUUACCUGUAUGCCUGGUCCUCGGUUCAAAUCUUACAAUGUAAACCGAAUUGAAACAUCGAUAUUAAGUCUCGUACUGUGUACACUCANNNNNNNNNNNNNNNNNNNNNNNNNNNNNNNNNNNNNNNNNNNNNNNNNNNNNNNNNNNNNNNNNNNNNNNNNNNNNNNNNNNNNNNNNNNNNNNNNNNNNNNNNNNNNNNNNNNNNNNNNNNNNNNNNNNNNNNNNNNNNNNNNNNNNNNNNNNNNNNNNNNNNNNNNNNNNNNNNNNNNNNNNNNNNNNNNNNNNNNNNNNNNNNNNNNNNNNNNNNNNNNNNNNNNNNNNNNNNNNNNNNNNNNNNNNNNNNNNNNNNNNNNNNNNNNNNNNNNNNNNNNNNNNNNNNNNNNNNCCUAACCACCUUAGGAAGCUAUCGGUUUUCAACACACGUUCAUUCUUUCUCUCCAUGUUUCGAUCUCUAGGUCUCUCAACUACACAACCCCUUUUUCCACUCUGUUACCAAAUGUAUUUACCUCACACACCCGCCAUUGCACCCCAUGCCGAGCUCUCUCUUCCCCUCCCACCCUCUCCCUCUCACCCUCUCGCGCUAAAUACAUGCAUUGCCUAUCUAGCCCCCCAACCUCUCGUGCAUGCGCAUGCACGCAUGUUGUAUAUCUAGGUCACUCCCUUGAGACUGUGUCACUCUUUCUUCCGCACGGCGGGCCACACUCGCUCAAUCUCGCUCUCUUUAUCUAUGUCUCGUUUAACCUCAUUUUCUUUCACACACAAAUGAUAUAUCUCCCUGUUCAGGCCUCGAUCGACACACUCUAUACUCUCUCACGCAGAUUGUCUAUCUAGGUCAGUCCAUCCAAGACGCCGCCACUCUUCCGACCUCAUGGUGGGCCAUGCUCACUCAAUCUCUCUCUCUCUCUGUCUCUCUCUCUCUCCGUAUGUCUCGAUUAACCUCGCUCUUUCUCGGACAAAAAUGAUAUAUCACCAUGUUUGAGCCCAAUUCGACCUAUUCACAUUGUAUAUUCUCUCACGCACAUUGUCUAUCUAGGUCACUCUCUCCAACCCGUCUCACUCUUUCGAUCGCACGGCGACCCUAUGUGAUCGGUUGACCUUGCUUCCUCCCACGCACAAAAUAUAUCUACACGUAUGUGACUGGAUCAUCUCUCAAGCUCUAUCUUAUAGCCCUCACCCUUGCCAAAAAGCUCAAUCGGACAAUAUCUCUCCAGAGCAUAUAUAUUUGUUCAAUGAAUGUCAGACCACACUCACUUUGUCACUCUAUCUAUAUGUCUCUCGAUUAACCUCGCUUUCUCACACCAUAUCUUCCACGCGUUGAAGCUACUACCUCUCCAUCCCUCGCAAAGCCGGAGCUAUUUACAUUGCGAGGGGCACUCCAACCUUGGAUUAAUUUGUGUAGGCAUUUAUUCCGGUCGGUUUAGAUUAUAUUUUCGUAGCAUUUGGCCCACAAGUACUCCAAUCAUCGUAGCGGGUAAUUAAGCUACGGGGAGCACCUAAUACAAGAACCGGGGAGCCGUUGGAUUGAAGAUGCAGCGGCACACACGAGGCCUGAAUGUUUUAUUUGCAAAAAAACCUUUGGAGAGUUUGGAAAUUGCGCAUAAUUACAGAGACUACUCCCAAGCCAUUGGAUCUCACUUCCAAUGGUGUAAAAACUCGUAUCACCAUAGUAUCUAAGCUGCGGGGUGGAUGUGAUAUUCUAUGCCGCUGUCAUUUUUGUUCAUAAACUUGCAAAAAACGUGUAACUCGUGCCGUUACUUGUCUAACCGCGCAAAGUGUUUGUUCAAAAAAACCAUCCUACACUGAAAUAUCGGAACAACACACGGGGGUCCCACUUGUCAUUAAUCAAAUUUGGACCUAAAACUAACAAAUCUGAAAGACGAGAUUCGAACUGGCAACCUGGACUACAAAGCGUAAGUCGAUAGCCUGAAAAAAUGAACGCUUGUUGGCUUUGUCCCAUAACUUGAUUUUAUACAGUACUUGCGUUGAGUAGAGUAGAGGGACUGCCUCGUCAACACGUGCAUGACCGUUAUCUCACUUACUGGUGGGUCCCAGGUCUGCGAUCUCAAUCUCUCUUCUCUCCAUCGUCUUACCUUUGCACGGGCACACACGAAGAGCGGCGCUAGCUUGCCGUGGUGUUAUUACAGCUAAAAAAACUUGGAAAAUAGAAGAAUCGCCUAGAACAAGAGACGUUGUGGCUGGUCGAGACGGAGCUAACCACAUCUAUCCUCUGUGCCACGUUUGCAUGAUGAAGUUGUGUGGCUAGUGGGCUGUUUUCAACCGACUGGCUGGGUCCCGAGGUCGAACCAUAGGUACUACGUCUGAUAUAGUAUAUUUUUACACGCACAUUUUUCCUCCGUGCCGAGACGUGGCACACCCUACCGCGUGGUUUCGGGGUCCUCCCGGGUGGUGCACGCAUAUAUUCUUCCUGACGUGGGACGCCCUACCGCGCGUUUUCUGUGUCCUCCUCGGUCGUAGCGCCGAAGCAAGUAAAUGAGUCGUCAAAUCACGAAAGACCACCUUUCCCGCCGAGUACAUUAGUGAAGCAUGGUGGCUAGCUAGUUGGGCUAGUUUGACGGAUUAGCUAGGCCGCUGCCACAUUUGGUUUUUCACCCCUUUUUUUAUCUACUUGCCGGCAGGUAAAUUUAAAUAUCCACCGCGGCGUUGCUCUGGUGUUUGGGCGUGGCAGGAUUUUUAAUUUUUUGAUUGACGGGAGCAGGCGCGGCAGGAUUUUUAAUUUUUUGAUUGACGGGAGAAGGCGCGGCAGCAAUUAGUCACGAUGACUCCGCCUGUACCCACUUCUCCCUGAUGUGAGAAAUCGUCGACUGGUGUUUUACCGUGGUGAAAACCAAAAGAUUCCCCGCUCCCUCCGCCUUCCCGUAGAUUGCAUUGCCUUUCAGCCGUUUCGCCCCCUUUGCUUCCUCUCCCCAUUGCUUCUACAUGGUGCCAUGGCGGCGCAGUAGAUCAUGGAGUCCGAGGUGAGGCUCCUGACACAGGAGCUCCAUGCCAAGGAUGCGGAGCUCAGGGCCAAGGACGUGGAGCUCCGUGAGCUCAAGGAGGAGAGGAGUGCCAUGCCCCUCCGUUAUGUGUGGGAGUUCACGGAGCUUCAAAAGCGGCAGGCGUCCACCACAAAGAUGCUCGAGGCGUUGGCGGCGUUGCUGCAGAAAGCGGGAGAUGCGAUAGGCCGUCAGGGGAGCCGGCUGGAGCGCGAGCGGGCCGAUCGUGACGAGGUCCAGGAUCGCCUCAGCCACUUGGUGAACCAAGUUGCCACGCACGUGUUGCGGCUGCGCGAUGCCUACCGUCGUGCCAGCACGAUGAUGCCAGCCGUCGGGCUAAACCCGUUCGACCACCCGGUCGACUUCAACGAGCUGCGGCUUCCUGACCUGGUCUCCUUCUUCACCUAUAUCUCCGAGGAGCUGAGCCAUCUCCGCGCGAUGGUGGGGGCUGAGCUGGACAAGGAGGGGUUGCGGGCUGCCGUCGCCAUUGCUGGGCGAAUCCUUUCAGGGCUCCGUCACCGGAAUCCAUUCGUGCCAUUGGACGCCGUCUUUGACGAGCUGGCUCCCGUCGACUGGGAGCGGGCUCUGCGGGCGGUUGCACCCUGCGUCACCAACGUCGUGCGCCUCAAGAAGCAAAGGGACUUCGGUGGUGUUUAGGCGCCUCUGCAUGGGCAUGUCCAUGUCUCGGUGCAACAUGACCGUUGGAUCAAACUCAGAUGGUGCAGAUUAGUCAUUGUAUCACAAAGCGUGUGGGUGUGUUUGGUUGCAUUCUCAUCUCAAUAUAGUUGUUUCCUCUUCGUGUAUUUUUGUCAACCUACUAGUGUGGACUCAUGCACCCUUCAUGCACUUUGCCAAACACCCAAAAGUGGGUCGAGAAGGGAACUUUUGCUCCCAUCCCGUGCACCCUUCAUACACUGUAGGAUCGAAAGUAUGUCUAGAGGGGGGUGAUUAGACUACUUGACCAAAUAAAAACUUAACCUUUUCCCAAUUUUAGUUCUUGGCAGAUUUUAGCUAUUGUAGGACAAGUCAAGCAAUCAUCACACAAUUCAAGCAAGCAUGCAAAGAGUAUAUUGGCAGAGUAAAGCAUGCAACAUGCAAGAAUGUAAAGGAAAGGGUUUGGAGAAUUCAAACGCAAUUGGAGACACGGAUGUUUUUCCCGUGGUUCGGAUAGGUGGUGCUAUCCUACAUCCACGUUGAUGGAGACUUCAACCCACGAAGGGUAACGGUUGCACGAGUCCACGGAGGGCUCCACCCAUGAAGGGUAAUGGUUGCGCGAGUCCACGGAGGGCUCCACCCAUGAAGGGUAAUGGUUGCGCGAGUCCACGGAGGGCUCCACCCACGAAGGGUCCACGAAGAAGCAACCACCCAUGAAGGGUCCACGAAGAAGCAACCUUGUCUAUCCCACCAUGGCCAUCGCCCAUGAAGGACUUGCCUCACUACCGGUAGAUCUUCACGAAGUAGGCGAUCUCCUUGCCCUUACAAACUCCUUGGUUCAACUCCACAAUCUUGUCGGAGGCUCCCAAGUGACACCUAGCCAAUCUAGGAGACACCACUCUCCAAGAAGUAACAAAUGGUGUGUUCAUGAUGAACUCCUUGCUCUUGUGCUUCAAAUGAUAGUCUCCCCAACACUCAACUCUCUCUCUCAUAGGAUUUGGAUUUUGUGGAAAGAAGAUUUGAGUGGAAAGCAACUUGGGAAGGCUAGAGAUCAAGAUUCAUAUGGUAGGAAUGGAAUAUCUUGGUCUCAACACAUGAGUAGGUGGUUCUCUCUGAGAACAUAUGAGUUGGAAUUGUGUAUGUGUUCUAAUGGCUCUCUCCACGAAUGAAGAGGAGGUGGAGGGGUAUAUAUAGCCUCCACACAAAAUCCAACCGUUACACACAGUUUUCCAAUCUCGGUGGGACCGAAUCAACAAACUCGGUCGGACCGAAAAGGCAAACCUAGUGAUCCUUAGAGAUUUUCGGUGGGACUGACAUGCAACUCGGUAGGACCGAUAUGGUUAGGGUUUGGGCAUAACGUAAUCUUGGUGAGACCGAUUACACAAACUCAGUGAGACCGAGUUUGGUAAUAAGCUAACCAGAGAGUUGGUCAGGUAAACUCGGUGGGACCGAUUUGCUCUUUCGGUGAGACCGAAAAGUUACAAAAAGGAAACAAAGAGUUUACACUGCAAUCUCGGUGGGACGGAUUCGCUCUUUCGGUGAGACCGAAAAGUUACAAAAGGGAAACAGACAGUUUGCAAUCCCAUCUCGGUGAGACCGAGAUCCCUAUCGGUAGAACCGAAUUUCUAGGGUUUGGCAGUGGCUUAUGACAAGUGAAACUCGGUGGCGCCGGAUAGGAAUAAUCAGUAGGACCGAGUUUGGCUUAGGGUUUAGGUCAUAUGUGGAUAUGGGAAAGUAGUUGAGGGUUUUGGAGCAUAUCACUAAGCACAUGAAGCAAGAGGCUCAUUAAGCAACACCUCAUCCCUCCUUGAUAGUAUUGGCUUUUCCUAAAGACUCAAUGUGAUCUUGGAUCACUAAAAUAUAAAAUGAAGAGUCUUGAGCUUUUGAGCUUGAGCCAAUCCUUUGUCCUUAGCAUUUUGAGGGUUCCACUUUCACAUCCAUGCCAUGCCAAUCAUUGAGCUUUCCUGAAAUAGUCAUCUUGGAAUAGCAUUAGCUCAAUGAGCUAUAUGUUGUUAUGAAUUACCAAAACCACCUAGGGAUAGUUGCACUUUCAAUCUCCCCCUUUUUGGUAAUUGAUGACAACAUAUAGAUCAAAUCUUCGACAAAUGAUAAUAAGCAUGAAAUAUAUCGUCGCUUUGAGAAGUAUGUGACAAGUAAGAGCUCCCCCUAAAUUUGUGCAUAUUUAAAAUUUGCUUUGGACUGCAAAUGCACAAAGAGUUAGAGUCAUGGGUUACUCUUCCAUGUCACAUAUAUCUUGGUGGAGCGCUUAAAAUGAUAAGAAUGAAAUACAUGCACUCAUCACCAAGAAUAGUGAAUGAUCACAUAAGAUAGAUAAGAUGAUAAUAUUAAGCAAACAUUAAGUGUAGCUUAUGAUCAAACACAUGAUCAUCAAUGUCUCACGAGCAAUGACAUAGUACCUCACACAAAAGCAAACAAAGUUCGAAAAACCACGAAAUAAAACAAGAGAGAAUAAAAGCAACACUAAAAGCAACACUCUCUCUCGAAGCCUAUGAUCUAUGCAUUUUCUCCCCCUUUGGCAACAAGUUACCAAAAAGUUCCUAGAAAAUGCAUAGUGCUAAGUCGACACUCAGGCUUGAUCUUCAGGUGGUGGUGGAGUCCGGAGCACUCCAAGGACGAAGCCUUCUGUAGACGUGGUCGGAGUCGAGGCUGAAGUGGACGCUGGAGCUGGUGGAACUGAGGCUGUAGCUGGUGCAGACGUGGUGGCUCUGGGGUCAGCAACUGGCACGGUAGACGACCUCGGACCUCGUGGCACUCUGGCAAAGGCAUCAGUUGUAGUCUUGCGUCUCCUCUCCUGCAUGUCAUCCUGGAGCUGCUCCACUGCAGUCUGAAUCUCUGUCACUUUGACAUCCAAGUCAUAGAACUUUUGUUCCAUGAUCCUCUCUAAGCUUGCCUGGUUCUGAGUUAGGGUGGCUAGUCCUUGCUCAAUCCGCAGGGUGGAUGCAAUCAAGUAACCAAGCUGCUCUUGUUUAGUUUUCAGGAAAUAUUCAGAUGCCUCCUCUUGAGUAGGCAUCUUGGCAGCUUUCUCCUUCCUCGCCUUCUCCUUCUUGGCUUGUGCUUGGGCAGAUGAUGGCUCAUUCUCAGUCAUGACCACUUGAUUAUCUUCAAAGUCUGGACAGAUGGGCAGGUGUUCCUUGUCCAAUAAGUAUAUGCCCGUGCCCAUCUUAGAGUUGAUGAGCUCCGAAAUCUGUGGGGCAUAUCCACAGCUCCUCUUCUGGUCUGCUGCUGUCCUCUUGAUUGUUUCAAUCAUAAGGCUCAUGACUUUGAAUUUCUGUGGCACGUCAAAGAUAUGAAGCAAGUUGAUCGCGUGGCCCCUGAUCAUCUUGUGAUCUCCAGACUUGGGCAAUAGGGUGUGCCUAAGAAUCCAAUUGAUGGUUGGCAGCCCUGACAGAAGAUAGUAUACUGAGCCAAACUUGAACGUAUCAAGUGCUUCAUUUGGAAUCUCCUUGUACAUGUUUGACAUUGAGUUGUGGUCCAUCUUCUUCUUGGCAUAAAUGUCCAAGUCAUCGUCAUGCUCUUCUGGGGCAUUAAUCAGCUGAGCCCAUUCAGCAACUGUAGACUGGUACCUCGUACCCUCUGACAUCCAUACAAUCCUGCCAUCUGGAUAGAAGUGGGCUGUGGAGUAGAAGUGCAUGAUGAGUUCCUCGUUCCACUUUGUGAGCUUCUUCCCAACAAAGUCCUCUACUCCACAUGCCUUGAAGCUGUCCUGCACUCCAGGGUAGUACUCUUUGUUGUCCUUGAUGUAUUGCCAAUCAACCCAUCUCAUAUCACAGACAAUUGGCUUCUUGUCUAGCAGCACUGUCUCAUAAAAGUCUUGCUGCUCCUUGGUGUGAAACCUGUAGUCAACUGCAGUCCUUCUCCUUGAAGCAUACGGGUCUGCUUCUCUCCACUUCCGGAGCCCUGAAUCUCUCCUGAGUUUCAUAUCCUCAGCCACAGGAUGAGCAUCGUUGUGGUCUGGGAUCUUGGGCUUGAGCUUUCUAAGAACAUUCUCUUCUUGUUCUUCUGCAGCCUCAGGCAUUGGGGCCUUGUUCUUCUCAGUACCUGGGAUGCUUCUUGUGUUCCUCUUUGGCUUUGGCUUUGGAGCUGGCUUGGCCUUGGAAGCAGCUGCCCCUGUUCUUAUGGCAUCACCCAUCAGCUUGGGUGCCUUAGGUGCUGGUGCAGCUACCUCUUCUUCUUCCUCCUCAUCUUCCAUGAUGGAAGCCUUGCCAAGCACUCUGGCUACAGUUUUCUUCACCCUUUCUUUCCUCUUCUUGCCUUCAGCAGCAACUGGCUCAAUGGGAGUGGGCUUCUCAGUUGAAGCUCUGGCCUUUGACAUAGGCUGCCUGCUGGCCUUUUGAUCUUCAUCCCUGGUUUUAUGCCCUGUGCUGGCACAACUCUCUUGGAAGUUGCUUCCUCUUCUGCCACAUAAUCCUCAUCUUCUGAGUCUGAGGUUCUCUUCUUUCUCUAUCUUGUGGCAGCUUUAGGCAGAUUGCUAGGGGUGCUCCUGCUGCCAUCAUCUGAGGAACUUGAGGGACUAGUGCCCUCACUCAUCUGCACUUGCUGCUCUGACAAGUUUUGGCUAUCACUUUGGUCUGACAUGAUGCAAACUCUGACUGCUGACCCUGUGAAUAGGUUAUAGAUGAGAUAGAGUGGAUGAGCAUCACAAAAUGCAGAGAUUUUUGCAAAAGAAUAAUUCAAAAACUUAGUUUUAGUUUCCCACUGAAAGCAUCUCGGAUCUACCGAUUUCUAAACUCGGUGAUACCGAAGCAGUUUUGGCACCUAAACUAGUGAACUCGGUCAGACCGAGUCACAGUUCGGUGGCACCGAGACUGCUGGGGUUUCACAGAGUUCCAAAAUCGGUCGCACCAAUAAGUAAUUCUCAGUCAGACCGAGUCUCACUUGUGCAAUGGCAUAAGCCAAAUCGGUGGGACUGAGUUUUUCAACUCGGUGGGUCCGAGAUGGUUUCGGCGGAAACCUAACCCUAAAAUUUUCGAAUUAAACCUAAUCUACGAGUUCAUUGACUGGAUAGAAGGUUAACAAACGUGGCAAGAAUCAUGAUGAUCACAAUGUGCUAAGAAUCGGAUUGGGGAAUAGCACAAAGAUCGAGCCCAUACCCUAGUUCGGCGGAGACUCGCUACGGCGGCAACGGCGGGGUUGAAUUUCCGUUGACGGCGACGGAGACCAGCGACUGGAGGCGGCUGGCGGCGAGGAGACGAUCCGGAGACCAAGUUGGCAGAGCAGGCUAUCGCGCGGGCGAAGGGGUUCGGAGAAAUUUCCAAAUUUUUGCCCGUGACUAUAUAUAGCCCGACCCUAUCGGUGUGACCGAGUGAAACAACUCGGUGGCACCGAGAUGCAAAACUGUAUACAGUUGUUGCAACUCGGUGUGACCGAAUGGUUCAAAUCGGUUGCACCGAGAUCGAAAACCUAGAUCAACUUAAUGAUCUCGGUAGGACCGAAAGUAGGGUAUCGGUCAGACCGAGAAUCAUAAAGAGGUUUUGGAAGUUUAAGUCUAUGACGAAUCGGGGACUCCGAGCGCUCCUCACACAGAGUGGUUCGAAUCUGACUUGAUCAAAUUUUGUGAUGUAGCAUGAAUAGAGUUUGAGACGAGAAAAGCAUGGAUAGCUAGAGGAGGUUCUUAGGCAUUCUUGUCCAUCCACUUGGCAAAAGGAAAUAAAACCAAACAAUCAAAAAAACAAGUGGAUGUCCUCGAAUGAGUAAAAUAUGCAACCAGCAUGCUCACACAAUAAGAUGGCAAAUGAAAUAUGUGACAAGGCAUGCACAACCAAUUCUAGCAUCUAUCAAGCAAUUUGCGAUGACAAGGUCAUUUAUAUAUGAGUAUAUUGACUUAGGAGUCAAGUGAGAACACUUGAUCAUAGGUCAUACUCAUCGUUUAAGCUCAAGUGGGGUUACCACUUUUACAUAAAGCAUUGUUGUGUUCACAUCUUUAGAGUUGCUUUAGCUCAAGUCUUAGAGUAAAGCUCCCCCUAGAUGUGAUAUCUCCCCUUAGAGGGAUGAACUAACCUCGGGUUUUGUCGAUGAUGACUUCAUGUAGAUGUUGAAGAUGUGGAUGCUCAAUGUUGAUGUAGAUCACUUGGAGCUAUCCAUUUGAGUGAAUUGCACUUUCAAUACCUACAUGGGUUAGUCCCACAAGGAACAAACAAGGAUAUCCAUAGACAUAGAGUGAUGCACACACAAGAUGAUGUCCAUGAAAACUUUUAGGUUACCUUGUCCCUUGUCUUACCAACAAGAGGGUUUGUGACUCCUUGAACUAGUGCAAGAUGUGGAAGUUGAUUGCACUUGUUCUUGCCAAAAUGAUAAGAGUGAAGUAUGUUGGCGGAGUCACCCUCAAGAACUCUCUAGUUCUUCUUCUUUUGGAUCCACACCAUCUUGAUGGGAAUCCUUGGAGUUGUAGUCGUACUUGAUGAAGUGGAACUUGAAGUAGUCUUGGGAAUCCACUUGACUAAGGUCUUAGGAGCUUCUUCAAAUGCAUCAAUUUCCUCUUGAAGCUUGUCCUUGCCUUUUUGCUUGUAGUCUUGUGGUGGAAGAUCAUCUUGAGCUUGUGUCCCCUUGAAAUAAGUAUCAUACUUCUCUUGUUGAGGAACAAACUUUGUCUUGGGGUAUUGAUCUUCUUACCACUCAACUCCAUUGGCAUUGAACUUUCGUUCAAAACCAACACCUUGAUUCUUCCGGUGCAUUCCUUGCUUGCGCACAAUUUCCUCGAAUUGCUUACUCCCGGCAAGGCUUUUGUACACUCCUUUCUCUAUAAUUCCCUUCAAUAAGCUAUUUUCUUGCUCAAGUGUAACUUGGCUAAGAGAAUCAUUAGUGGAAUCAAGAGAACUACUAGAAGCAACAAUAUUGGAUUUAGCAUGAUCAUUGUUACUGCUAGAGGAAGAAUCUUUCUUGUUCUUGUUACUAGACUUGACUUGAGGCAUGUAAGUGGAUAAGAGUAAACGCUUGGCAAUGUAAGAAGAACUUUUCUUGCGGAGAUCAUCAUUGAUUGCUUUUAAGAACUCAUGCUCUUGCUCAAGAUUGAGCUUUUCAAAGCGUAAUUUCUCAUGAGCUCUUAAAAGUUCUCGAUGAUCUUCGAAGAUAGUUUCAUGAGCUAACUUAAGAGUGUUUAGUUCUUUAGUUAGAGCCUCAAUCUUCUCCUUAUCAUUGUCAUUCGUUUUAUCUUGAUUAGCAUGAUUAAUUGACGUUUCAUCAUAGUAUUCAUCACUAGAGUUGUCAACAAGCAAAUAAUCACCUAACAAGUCAUCUUCAUCACUAUUGAAAUCAACAUACUCGGGGUGUGUUACCUUAGGACCUUUGGCCAUGAAGCAUCUUCCAAUUCCUUCAUUUGGUGAGUCAAAUAUGUCGUAGGAGUUGGUUGACACAAGUGCUAGACCGGCAACACCUUCAUCUUGAGUAUCUUCGGAGUCGGAGUGAUAACUUCUCUCGGAGUGGCUGUCGGAGUCGGAGCCGGAUACCCAUUCACCAACAUGAGCUUGAUGUCUUCGUUUUGUGUAGCUCCUUGAUGAUUUUUCCUUCCUUUCCGAAUCCUUGCUUCUCCGUGAGUAUCUUCGUUCAUAACGAUCAUCUCUACUCCUUCUCUCUCUUGGUGGUGAUUCUUUGCUUCUUCUUUUUGGAGAAUCUUCUCUUCUCUUGUAGGGAGCCGUACACUCAUUGGAAUAGUGUCCGGGUCUUCCACAACUGUAGCAGUUUCGCUCUCGACUAGAAGAUCUUUUGUCAUUGUAGGACCUUGACUUGAAGCUUCUAUCUUUGCUUCUACUCUUGUAGAACUUGUUGAAGUUCUUCACCAUUAAGCUCAAUUCUUCAUUGAAGUUUUGUUUCUCACUUGAUGAUGUAGGGGCUUCACAUGAGGCUUCAUAGGCACCACUUGAUUUGUUGUGAAGUUCCUCUUUAUCCUUAAGUGACAUCUCAUGAGCAACAAUUCUUCCAAUCACCUCCGUUGGCUUGAGAUCUUUGUAAUUGGGCAUCAUUUGGAUCAAUGUGCACACGGUAUCGUAUUUUCCAUCCAAGGCUCUUAGAAUCUUCUUGAUGAUGAAUCUAUCGGUCAUCUCUUCACUUCCUAAGCCGGCAAUCUCAUUUGUGAUGAGAGCAAGCCUAGAGUACAUUUCAGCGACACCUUCACCAUCCUUCAUUUUGAACUUGUCAAGUUGACUUUGAAGCACAUCCAACUUGGAUUCCUUGACGGAGUCGGUACCUUCGUGCAUAUCAAUCAAAGUGUCCCAAAUUUCCUUUGCAUUCUCAAGACGGCUGAUUUUGUUGAAUUCUUCGGGGCACAAUCCGUUGAAGAGAAUAUCACAAGCUUGAGCAUUGUAUUGCAACAUCUUCAACUCAUCCGUGGUAGCUUCACGGUUUGGUUCUUUCCCAUCAAAGAAGUCACCUUGCAAACCAACACACACAAUAGCCCAAACGGCGGGGUCAUGUCCAAGAAUAUGCAUUUUCAUUUUAUGCUUCCAACUAGCAAAAUUAGUACCAUCAAAGUAAGGACCUCUACGGUGAUAAUUUCCCUCGCUAGACGCCAUACUCUCCUAGGUUGUGAAACCAAGGCUAUGACCACCAAAAGCUAUGGAGAUCAAAGAAAAUGGAGACCAAAGCUCUAAUACCACUUGUAGGAUCGAAAGUAUGUCUAGAGGGGGGGUGAUUAGACUACUUGACCAAAUAAAAACUUAACCUUUUCCCAAUUUUAGUUCUUGGCAGAUUUUAGCUAUUGUAGGACAAGUCAAGCAAUGAUCACACAAUUCAAGCAAGCAUGCAAAGAGUAUAUUGGCAGCGGAAAGUAAAGCAUGCAACUUGCAAGAAUGUAAAGGGAAGGGUUUGGAGAAUUCAAACGCAAUUGGAGACACGGAUGUUUUUCCCGUGGUUCGGAUAGGUGGUGCUAUCCUAAAUCCACGUUGAUGGAGACUUCAACCCACGAAGGGUAACGGUUGCGCGAGUCCACGGAGGGCUCCACCCACGAAGGGUAAUGGUUGCACGAGUCCACGGAGGGCUCCACCCACGAAGGGUAAUGGUUGCGCGAGUCCACGGAGGGCUCCACCCACGAAGGGUCCACGAAGAAGCAACCACCCACGAAGGGUCCACGAAGAAGCAACCUUGUCUAUCCCACCAUGGCCAUCGCCCACGAAGGACUUGCCUCACUAGCGGUAGAUCUUCACAAAGUAGGCGAUCUCCUUGCCCUUACAAACUGCUUGGUUCAACUCCACAAUCUUGUCAGAGGCUCCCAAGUGACACCUAGCCAAUCUAGGAGACACCACUCUCCAAGAAGUAACAAAUGGUGUGUUGAUGAUGAACUCCUUGCUCUUGUGCUUCAAAUGAUAGUCUCCCCAACACUCAACUCUCUCUCUCAUAGGAUUUGGAUUUUGUGGAAAGAAGAUUUGAGUGGAAAGCAACUUGGGAAGGCUAGAGAUCAAGAUUCAUAUGGUAGGAAUGGAAUAUCUUGGUCUCAACACAUGAGUAGGUGGUUCUCUCUGAGAACAUAUGAGUUGGAAUUGUGUAUGUGUUCUGAUGGCUCUCUCCACGAAUGAAGAGGAGGUGGAGGGGUAUAUAUAGCCUCCACACAAAAUCCAACCGUUACACACAGUUUUCCAAUCUCGGUGGGACCGAAUCAACAAACUCGGUCGAACCGAAAAGGCAAACCUAGUGACCGUUAGAGAUUUUUGGUGGGACUGACAUGCAACUCGGUAGGACCGAUAUGGUUAGGGUUUGGGCAUAAUGUAAUCUCGGUGAGACCGAUUACACAAACUCGGUGAGACCGAGUUUGGUAAUAAGCUAACCAGAGAGUUGGUCAGGUAAACUCGGUGGGACCGAUUUGCUCUUUCGGUGAGACCGAAAAGUUACAAAAAGGAAACAAAGAGUUUACACUGCAAUCUCGGUGGGACGGAUUCGCUCUUUCGGUGAGACCGAAAAGUUAUGAAAGGGAAACAGACAGUUUGCAAUCCCAUCUCGGUGAGACCAAGAUCCCUAUCGGUAGAACUGAAUUGCUAGGGUUUGGCAGUGGCUUAUGACAAGUGAAACUCGGUGGUGCCGGAUAGGAAUAAUCGGUAGGACCGAGUUUGGCUUAGGGUUUAGGUCAUAUGUGGAUAUGGGAAAGUAGUUGAGGGUUUUGGAGCAUAUCACUAAGCACAUGAAGCAAGAGGCUCAUUAAGCAACACCUCAUCCCUCCUUGAUAGUAUUGGCUUUUCCUAAAGACUCAAUGUGAUCUUGGAUCACUAAAAUAUAAAAUGAAGAGUCUUGAGCUUUUGAGCUUGAGCCAAUCCUUUGUCCUUAGCAUUUUGAGGGUUCCACUUUCACAUCCAUGCCAUGCCAAUCAUUGAGCUUUCCUGAAAUAGUCAUCUUGGAAUAGCAUUAGCUCAAUGAGCUAUAUGUUGUUAUGAAUUACCAAAACCACCUAGGGAUAGUUGCACUUUCAUACACCCUGCCUAACACUAUUCGUGCUUCAUAUGGUUCAUGUUUCAUGGAGUACUGUAGCACCGUACUCUCUGUGCGCUGUGGACCUAGUUCUGUUAACAUUGAUCUCACCGUCCAUUCUCGACCGGAUAGUCAAAAAAGCGGUACUAUGUUACAUAUAGGAGUAGUUGACAUGCGCACAACAUCAUUUGUUAUCGUCAUAUAUUACUACACUAGCAACAAGAUUGUGUUGUACUGACGUAUGAACCACUGCACAUGCCUAGUAGUAGGAGCACUGUGUAUGUUCAAGUGGCUGCCGUGUUUCGCACUCCUCCGUCGUAAGAGUGGAAACGCUUGCUGUAAUCAUUUUUUCUUCUGAAAAAUAGUGGACACGCUCUACCAUGCGGAUCCUCCUCCAGCCAUGCACUAAAUUACUCACUUUCACCGAUGUGUGGGACAGCCAGCAUCGGGGUCCACCAGCCAUGCACUAAAUUACUCCGUAGUAGAGUGACGGUAGACUACCUCGAUCGAAGCGCCGCAGUAGUGCCCAAUGAGCCGUCAAAUCACAAAACCCCCUCCUUUCCAGCAGUAAGUUGGACGGACGAAGCAACCAUCAUUUCACUCUUCUCUCUCAGCUUCCUCUCUACCCAACCCUCGCUUCUGCCUCAUCUUGUUCCUCAUUUCUUCAAGAAAAUCCUGACCAGCUUCUGCCAUUGUGUUGGGGAAUGUAGUAAUUUCAAAAAAAUUCCUACGCACACGCAAGAUCAUGGUGAUGCAUAGCAACAAGAGGGGAGAGAUUUGUCCACGUACCCUCGUAGACCAAAAGCAGAAGCGUUAGCACAACGCGGUUGAUGUAGUCAUACGUCUUCACGGCCCGACUGAUCAAGCACCGAAACUACGGCACCUCCGAGUUCUAGCACAUGUUCAGCUCGACAACGAUCCCCGGACUCCGAUCCAGCAGAAUGUCGGGGAAGAGUUCCGCCAGCAGGACGGCAUGGUGAUGCUCUUGAUGUUCUACCGUCGCAGGGCUUCGCCUAAGCACCGCUACAAUAUUAUCGAGGAUUAUGGUGGAGGGGGGCACCGCACACGGCUAAGAGAUCAAUGAUAAAUUGUUGUGUCUAUGGGGUGCCCCCCUACCCCCGUAUAUAAAGGAGCAAGGGGGAGGAGGUGCGGCCAGGCAAGGGGCGCGCCAGGAGGAGUCCUACUCCCACCGGGAGUAGGACUCCCCCCUUUUCCAUGUUGGACUAGGACUUGGGGGAAGGAGAGAGAGAGGGGAAAGGAAAGGGGGGUGCCGCCCCCCUCCUUGUCCAAUUCGGACUUGGGGGGAGGGCCGCGUGGCUGCCCCUUGGCCUCCUCUCUACUUCCUCCACUAGGCCCAUUAAGGCCCAUUAGGUUACUGGGAGGUUCCGGUAACCUCCCGGUACUCCAAUAAAAUGCCGAUUUCACCCGGAACACUUCCGAUGUCCAAACAUAGGCUUUCAAUAUAUCAAUCUUCAUGUAUCGACCAUUUUGAGACUCCUCGUCAUGUCCGUGAACACAUCCGGGACUCCGAACAAUCUUCGGUACAUCAAAACAUAUAAACUCAUAAUGAAACUGUCAUCGUAACGUUAAGCGUGCGGACCCUACGAGUUCGAGAAUAAUGUAGACAUGACUGAGACACGUCUCCGGUCAAUAACCAAUAGCGGAACCUGGAUGCUCAUAUUGGCUCCUACAUAUUCUACAAAGAUCUUUAUCGGUCAGACCGCAUAACAACACACGUUGUUCCCUUUGUCAUCGGUAUGUUACUUGCCCGAGAUUCGAUCGUCGGUAUCUUAAUACCUAGUUCAAUCUCGUUACCAGCAAGUCUCUUUACUCGUUCUGUAAUACAUCAUCCCGCAACUAACUCAUUAGCUGCAAUGCUUGCAAGGCUUAAGUGAUGUGCAUUACCGAGAGGGCCCAGAGAUACCUCUCCGACAAUCGGAGUGACAAAUCCUAAUCUCGAAAUAUGCCAACCCAACAUGUACCUUUGGAGACACCUGUAGAGCACCUUUAUAAUCACCUAGUUACGUUGUGACGUUUGGUAGCACACAAAGUGUUCCUCCGGUAAACGGGAGUUGCAUAAUCUCAUAGUCAUAGGAACAUGUAUAAGUCAUGAAGAAAGCAAUAGCAACAUACUAAAUGAUCAAGUGCUAAGCUAACGGAAUGGGUCAAGUCAAUCACAUCAUUCUCCUAAUGAUGUGAUCCCGUUAAUCAAAUGACAACUCAUGUCUAUGGCUAGGAAACAUAACCAUCUUUGAUCAACGAGCUAGUCAAGUAGAGGCAUACUAGUGACACUCUGUUUGUCUAUGUACUCACACAAGUAUUAUGUUUUCGGUUAAUACAAUUCUAGCAUGAAUAAUAAACAUUUAUCAUGAUAUAAGGAAAUAAACAAUAACUUUAUUAUUGCCUCUAGGGCAUAUUUCCUUCACAUUGUUCUUCCCUCCCAAAGAAGGAAAGGUGAGCGCAUCAAUGGUGUUGAUUCUGGCCAAGGCCCGGUCUUGCAACCCCGAGACUGAUCCUAUAACUCCCUCUCUUUUCUUCUUUUGGGUUUGUGAUUAUGGUUUCUUUUCUUUUAUUUCUAUUUGACAGUUUCUUGAUGGACGCUGGAGCAUCGGCCGAAGUGAUGUCUAUGGCUCUGGCCAAAACCGUCGAGGCUCAUGGUACGAAGAAGUGCAAGCACCCCGCCGAGACUACCGCAGACAAGCUCAAAGCCAUCACCCUGUCCAAGCCCCCCUCUCUGGGAUCCCUCAUUAAGCAAGUCCAGGUAAUAUCUCUUCUUGACGAUAUUUUUCUCGAUCUUGAUCGUGGUUUUCAUCUCACACGCAGUACUAGUACUAGUAGUACAACUUUCUGGGUGAUCUUGCAUGUGAUUUUUGUGUGCCAAAUGAUGGUUCUAAAUUCCUCUUUUGACAAAAACAUGCGAGAGGUUGACACUGAUUUCUUAUAGAUUACUUUCAACUACUCCCUCUGUCCCAAAUUUCUUGUCUUAGAUUUGUCUAGAUACGGAUGUAUCUAAUACUAAAAUGUGACUUGAUACAUCCGUAUCUAGAAAAAUCUAAGACAAGAAUUUUGGGACGAAGGGAGUACUUUAUGAACAUCAAUGCUACCUUUUAAGAGGGUAUAUUUGCCUCAGUAACUUGUGUUAUGGAUAUUGCAUGUAAUCCCUUUGCUCUCAUGCCUUUGAAGACAUGUUCUAGUGUCUUUGUUCACUCAUUUCUGUGCGUAUAUGUAGUCAUAUAUGGAGUAUAAUAUCGAAAAUCAUCUUAUAUUUCUGAACGGAGGUAGUAAUAAAAUAUGGUUUCUGUUUGAAUUAGAACUAGGUCCGCUGAUAUGUGGGGCAACCGGCAACGGGAUCCACAUGCCAUAUGCACAAAUUAGAGUGCACAACUUCACGGUAGACACACCCCGGUCGUAGCGCCACAGUAAUGCCCAAUGAGCGGUCAAAUCACAACCCCCCUUUCCAGCUUUAGCAAUAAGCUAGACGGACGAAGCGGCAAUAUUUCACUGGGCCUGAAUCCCCUUCUCCCUCGUCUGCUUGUUCAGAGAAAACCCCCUCUCGACGAUUGCAUAGGGUUUUCUCAUGGAGAACCAGGUACGAAUUCUUCAUCCAUCCCCGAUAAACCCAAGUCCCUUAGUCACAGGUAAUCCUAGGAUGGCAGCCGCCGCCAUUGAUGCAUUUUUCUUCCUACUGAAUCUAGUGUGUUUCAUUUGCAGUGCCCGAAGUGCGAGUACCCUAUAGGUUUCUGCACCCUCGGCGAGACGCCACACUUGUUCCUUCUCAUCCUAACACAGCAUUUUGAAACGCGCACAGUAUGUUCCUAGAAUCCUCUUUUCUAUCCGGGAGGGUGGGGUUUUUUUGAACAUGUUGUGUUCUCAUAUUAUUUUUCCUGCAGUGUAUUAUUUGCUCUGCCAAAACACAUGUACUCAAGAUGCUCGGCCUUGCCAUAACUGAAUACACUAGUUUAAUGGUCACAGUGAAGACAAGCCAUGGAUAUAAGUUCCGAGUUGGGUUCAUGAACCAAGAAGAUCGCUGCUUUUUUUAUGGCCGAACUUGGAUAAACUUUCUCAAGUGUUACGGACUGAAAGUUGGCGCACGAAUGUUGAUGGAAAUAGCAGAACCUGAUCUCAUCUUCACUGCGAUCUUCCACCCCGACGUCGUUCCAAUUGUUCAUCCAUGUUAGUUUUGUAUCUGGUUCUUGCUUGUUGCCUCGAUUACUUCUUAAUCCACCUAUUCUGUCUAACUAAUCACAAUUUAACUUUAGAAGUAGCAAUGAAUCUCUCACGAAGAUGCUACUUCUAACUAAUAUUUUCUUAUAAUUGGUGGCACGUGUAGGUUUUUUCAGAGUUAAGCAGUCUGCUCGCUUGUUACUCUGUAAUAACUCGGCUGUUACUAAUGGCACUGAAGUUGACUGGAUCGACAUCCACAAGUUCCUACACUUUAUUGAUCGUCUUGAGGUCCUUGUGGGGCGUUUCAAUGGUGGAAGGCCACGUGGGAUAUGUGUGCCACUGCUGCACUCAUUGAACAGGUCCAACUGUGUCGAGAAACUUAUGGUACGAGCUGUUUUCUGUUAUAUAUGUUGUUCAUAAACUAUUGAUUAUACACAGUUUUACAGCUGUGAUCUUCUUGAAACAGGAACUGUCGAGUUCUAUUGUUCCUAUACAAAUGCCUGACCAUGGUCGGGUCAGACUUGCGCUUGGUCACAACAUGAUGUUUAUGUCGACCUACUCAAUUCCCCUUGGAGGUGAAAAGAUACUUAUUCAUGGGUGGUCUCAAAUAAUGAAGGCCCGUCCAUCUUGGAGAAUAGGACAGAAGAUUAUGUUCAUGCUUUUCCAUGGCUCUAAAGCGAAUAUCCUGUUUAUUGACCACGUUGCGAGAUGAAGCCGCUUUCAGAAGGUUGUGGAUGCGCAGGGUGGCGCCUGGGCCUUGUCCUGGGGCUUGGCGGCCUCACCCUUGGUUAACUGUAGGUAAAGUAGCAUUGUUUGAGGCGUGCUUUGUACGGUUGAACCUGUAUAAGUACUCAUACUGCUUUUAGCUUUGGUUGUUAAGUGCCCCUGCUGGUUUCAGUUAAGAUUGUUAAGUACUCCUUCUGCUUUUACAGUCUGUCGUGCUUCUUCGGUCCUGUCUUCCUCCAGCCGCCAAAACCAAACCAGCGCCGGCGGGGCCGCCUGCUUCCGCCUCCCACGGCUAGCUGCGCCUCAGCGCACGCAUCGCCGCCCCACCGUCUCCUAAAUCGUUAACACCGACGUCCUCCGUGCGCUUUGGUGCGCUCGCCGCGGAGCCGCCCUCUCACGUUGUCAACAUGGUCAACAAACAACAGGAAUCGGCAGAAGUACGUGGAGAGGAUGACAGUAGGGGCUCACCACGUCAGCGUAUGGAAAAAUAAAAUGCUUCCUCCUAGUGUUUUCCUGACAUCUGGGACCCACGACAUUGUGAGCAUAUAUAGUCAAUAGACAAGAGAACAGCACAAGAUCGGCUGACACCUGGGACGUAGCUACUCGAGCAGUAUUUUUUUUGUUUGGUAUUGUUGAGACGGAGCAGGGUUUGAACUUGGCUGUGGCCCGUCUAGCCCAGGCUUAUAUUUUAUGUUCACCAUGUGACCAGCCCAGCUAUUUUUUCUUUGUGAAAAUGAGCCCAGUUUAUUUUUUCUGAAGAAUACCCAAUCCAGGCCUACUUAUUUUUCUACGCCCUGAUGAGCUGCAACUCUUUCAAGACGCCUGCAAAUCUUGAAAGUAAUAUGAAAUGGGUUGUAAAUAUAAAAACAGAUGACAAAUUGGCAAUUACUUUAUAAUUUCUGAAUUUUAUUACAUUUUCAUAUUCCUAUUUCACUGGGCAUUAACCUAAUUUAAAUAUAUCUUCAAAGUACUUUAAAUCUGGCUCGACAUUUCGGUAUUAAAAAUAGUUUGGAACCCACAGAAAUAUGUGAAAUUGGCCCUGGCCAACCAAAAAACGACUGUAAUAAAUUGCAUAAGAAGUUGCCAUGAGCUAUAUAUAAAUUAUUAAUAAAAGAGGGAGUGGUCUGACUUGUGGGCCUAUUUAGUUGACGCGUAUGCAAGAGUUUUUUAGUUAUUAUAUACAUCAACAAACGAUUCUAGCAGACGUAACCAUUGAAUGUCAAUCCAACGGCCGUCGUGUUUCUUCAAUCUCUGAUCUUCUUGCUCCAGCCGCCAAAGCAACGCCGGCGGGACCGCCUACUCCCGCCUCCCGUGGCUGGCUGUGCUGCCGCGCAAGCCUCAGCGCCCCCUACUACUCCCACCGCUGGCCAGGGCAUCCCUCUACUCACCCACAUCCCCUGUUAUUCUGCGGCGACGGUAGCCUCACACCGCAGCCAAACCGGUGAACGCUCGUACUCCUCUCAGGGUGGGCAUCCACUGUCGCGUCUUCCCUGGCUCCGCGUCGUCCCCUUCCUAUGCCUCGCUGUCGUCCACAGCCGUGGUGCUCUCGGCACGGCGUGGUCAAUGUGGUCAACGACCGACUUCCAUCAGAAGAGUACUGUACGUGGAGAGGCUGACAGCUGGGUCCACGGCAGCCGCAAGGAAGUGCCUCCUUAUUAUGCGGAAAAUAAUUAUUCCUCCACCUGACAGCGGGGACCCACCGGACGGGCCACCAGUAUUUUGCGAAAAAAAUCAUUUCCCCCUGACUGUUGGGACCCACCAGAUGGGCCACCAUAUUUCAGGAAAAUAAUGUUCCCCCCGCUGUCAGCUCGGACCCACCGGAAGUGCCUCCUUAUUACGCACAAAAAAAUGAAUACUCCCCCGGCUAGCUGGGACCCACCUUGGUGGGAGGCUGACUUGUGGGCCUACUAAGUUGACGGGGACGAAGGGCUUUGUCAACUUAGUCAAUAUGAACAAUUCUAGCUCCAGUGACCGUACGAUGUCCAUCCAAUGGCCAUAGUACUUCUUCAACCUCUGGUCUUCUUGCUCCAGCCGCCCAAAGCAGCGUCGGUCGUGCUGCAUGCUCCUGCCUCCCAUGGCCGGUUGUGCUGCCAUGGAGGCCUCACUGCCCCUACUAUUCCCACCGCUGGCCAGGCCCUGCAGCGGCGGCAGCCUCACACCGCAGCCGAACCAGUGAACCCUCGUACUCCUCUCCGCGCGGGCUUCCACUGUCGCAUCUUCCCCAGCUCCGCGUCGUCCCCUUCCUAGGCCUCGCCGUCGUCCACUGAUACAUCUCCAACGUAUAUAUAAUGUUUGAUUGCUCCAUGCUAUAUUAUCUACUGUUUUGGACUAUAUUGGGCUUUAUUUUCCACUUUUAUAUUAUUUUUGGGACUAACCUAUUAACCGGAGGCCCAACCCAGAUUUGCUGUUUUAUGCCUAUUUCAGUGUUUCGAAGAAAAGGAAUAUCAAACGGAGUCGAAACGGAACGAAAUCAACUGGAGAAGUUAUUUUUGGAACGAAAGCCACCGGAUAGACUUGGACUCCACGUCAGGAGAUACGGGGGGUGCUCACGAGGGUGGGCCCCCCCUAGGGCGCGUCCCCUUCCUCGUGGGGCCCCCGUGUCUCCUCCGACGUACCCCAUGCACCCAUAUAUACCUACGUACCCUAAAACUUCCAGAACACAAUAGAUCAGGAGUUCCGCCACCAAAAGCCUCCGUAGCCACCGAAAGCCAAUCUAGACCCGUUCCGGCACCCUGCCAGAGGGGGCAAUCCCUCUCCGGUGGCCAUCUUCAUCAUCCCGGUGCUCUCCAUGACGAGGAGGGAGUGGUUCUCCCUCGGGGCUGAGGGUAUGUACCAGUAGCUAUGUGUUUGAUCUCUCUCUCUCUCUCUCUCUCGUGUUCUUGAGGUGAUACGAUCUUGAUGUAUCGCGAGCUUUGCUAUUAUAUUUGGAUCCUAUGAAGUUUCUUCCCCCCUCUACUCUCUUGUAAUGAAUUGAGUUUCCCCUUUGAAGUUAUCUUAUCGGAUUGAGUCUUUAAAUAUUUGAGAACACUUGAUGUAUGUCUUGUCGUGGAUAUCUAUGGUGACAAUGGGAUAUCACGUGAUUCACUUGAUGUAUGUUUUGGUGACCAACUUGCGGGUUCCGCCGAUGAACCUAUGCAUAGGGGUUGGCACACGUUUUCGUCGUGAUUCUCCGGUAGAACUUUGGGGCACUCUUUGAGGUCCUUUGUGUUGGUUGAAUAGAUGAAUCUGAGAUUGUGUGACGCAUAUUGUAUAAUCAUACCCACGGAUACUUGAGGUGACAUUGGAGUAUCUAGGUGACAUUAGGGUUUUGGUUGAUUUGUGUCUUAAGGUGUUAUUCUAGUACGAACUCUAGGGCUGUUUGUGACACUUAUAGGAAUAGCCCAACGGAUUGAUUGGAAAGAAUAACUUUGAGGUGGUUUUGUACCCUACCAUAACCUUUUCGUUCGUUCUCCGCUAUUAGUCACUUUGGAGUGACUCUUUGUUGCAUGUUGAGGGAUAGUUAUGUGAUCCAAUUAUGUUAGUAUUGUUGAGAGGACUUACACUAGUGAAAGUAUGAACCCUAGGCUUUGUUUCCUAGCAUUGCAAUACCGUUUACGCUCACUUUUAUCAUUAGUUACCUUGCUGUUUUUAUAUUUUCAGAUUACAAAAACUAUUAUCUACUAUCCAUAUUGUACUUGUAUCACCAUCUCUUCACCGAACUAGUGCACCUAUACAAUUUACCAUUGUAUUGGGUGUGUUGGGGACACAAGAGACUCUUUGUUAUUUGGUUGCAGGGUUGCUUGAGAGAGACCAUCUUCAUCCUACGCCUCCUACGGAUUGAUAAACCUUAGGUCAUCCACUUGAGGGAAAUUUGCUACUGUCCUACAAACCUCUGCACUUGGAGGCCCAACAACAUCUACAAGAAGAAGGUUGUGUAGUAGACAUUAAGCUCUUUUCUGGCUCCGUUGCCGGGGAGGUUAGCGCUUGAAGGUAUAUCUUUAGAUCUUGCAAUCGAGUCUUUUAGUUUCUUGUUUUAUCACUAGUUUAGUUUAUAAAAGAAAACUAUAAAAAAUGGAAUUGAGUUUUUCUCAUAUGCUUCACCUUUUUAAUAUCUUUCGUGAGUAUGAUGGAAAGGAUAAUUGUGCUCAAGUGUUAGAAGAAGAGAUCUCUAAAAUGUUUGGCACUAAAUAUUUGAAUGAUGAGCAUGAUUGCAAUGUUGUUAGUACGAAUUCUUUGAAUAUCCAUGAUGCUAAUGAUGAUUGCACUAGUUAUGAUGAAAAUGCCUCCUAUAAACAUGUCAAUUUUUGUGGAGUACACUAGGUUUGCAAGUACACACUAAAUAGGGAAGAUAGAUAUUGCAAGAGGCAUAAGUACUUAGAAACCAAAUUGUUGCAAGAAGAGCUAGAUGAAUGUGCUGAAAGAUUCAAUAUUUUUCGUGCCCCUUGUGAACUUUGCAAUGAACAUGGUCAUUUAAAGCUCCAAUACUAUUUGUUUCAUGAUCAAGUCGUGUCCAAACAUUGUGAUAAUUUGAUUACCCUUGAGCAUCAUAAAGAGCUUAGCCUUCUUUUGGGUUAUGAAGAAAUGAAAUGUAUAACUGAGGGUAUUCCAAAGUUUAAUCUUGAUAGAUUUCUUGAUUUUGAUCUAGAGAAAAUUUAUACGUAUUGUGCGGUGAAUUGUAUUGAAAAUCCUCAUAUUGCCAACUACAUAAAGAAAAGAAAACAAAUAGAGGAUGAAGAGAAUACUAAUGAAAGGGAAGGGACUUCCCAAUAUCCUCCUAUUAUUUCUUAUGAUGAAUCAGGUAACAAGGAGGAGCUUUCUAUCCAACCAAUCUCAUUAAUAAGGAGCUCCAAAAAGAGGAUUGAACCCACACAUGAUGUGGUGAAUAAGAAGAAAAGAAAAAGGAAGAGAGGUAAAAAGGUAUCUCUCCCAAAUAAAGUUGCUCCUAUUAUUGAUGUGCCUCAUGAAAAUGAUACACUUGAUGAUCUCAUUAUGCCUAUUGCUUGUUGUGAUGAUUAUGAUUGGGAAGAUAAUGACACUUCUUAUGAUCUUGAAAAUCUUUUUGGCACUUGCUUGGAAGAAUAUUAUAAUUGCUACACUAUUGGUGCUAUCUAUACUAUUAAUGACGAGAGUGAUUAUGUUUAUGAUAUGAAAAGGCCCAAGCUUGGGGAAACUAUGUUUGAUGAGGAUGACAUAUUUGAGAAUAUAUUUGCUGCAAUUAAUGUUUGUCCCAAACUUGGGGAUGAUAUGUUUAAUAAUGAUGAUAUUUUUAGCCUCUCAAGUUUUAAUAUGCAAAUUUGUUAUGAUGAUAGAAUGCCUUCUACUUACGAUGAUAAUAUUUAUGAAAGUGGAUUUGGAGAGGUCAUGACUUUAUUUAGUGAUGUAUCCACUAUCUUGGAAGAGGUUUCAAUAGAUUAUGAUGAGAACAAAGUUGCUACUUAUGAUGAUUAUUGUGAUAAAACUUAUGCUAUAAAGAGUAGUGAUGAUUAUAUUUAUAAAACUUGUCAUGAUUAUGAGUACCCUUUCUCUGAACAUUACUCAUUUAACGUGGAAACAAUUUAUAGUAUUCAAGUCUCUUAUGAUACUCCCACUAUUCCGAAUGAGAAGAAUUUUGCUUAUGUGGAGAGUAGUAAAUUUUCUAUGCAAGUAGAUCAUGAAAAGAAUUAUUUAGGUGCUGGUUAUAUUGUUGAAUUCAUUCAUGAUGCUACUGAAAAUUAUUAUGAGGGAGGAAUAUAUGCUUGUAGGAAUUGCAAUAAUAUCAAAUUUCCUCUCUAUGUGCUUAAAAUCUUGAAGUUAUGCUUGUUUUGCCUUCCUAUGCUAGUUGAUUAUUGUUCCCAUAAGUUGUUUUCUCACAGAAUCCCUAUGCAUAGGAAGUGGGUUAGACUUAAAUGUGCUAGUCAUAUUCUUCAUGAUGCUCUCUUUAUGUUUCAAUUCUUAUCUUUUAUGUGAGCAUCGUUGAAAUCAUCAUGCCUAGCUAGGGGUGUUAAACGAUAGCGCUUGUUGGGAGGCAACCCAAUUUUAUUUUAGCUCCUUGCUUUUUUGUUCCUGUUUAGUAAUAAAUAAUCCAUCUAUCCUAUGUUUAGAUGUGGUUUUAUGUGUUCAAUUAGUGUUUGUGCCAAGUAGAACCGUUGGGAAGACUUGGGGAAAGUCUUUGCGAUCAUGCUGUAAAAAACAGAAACUUUAGCACUCACAAGAACUGCUGCCAUUUUUAUUUGGAGAGUGAUAUUUAGUUAAUUCUUCUUGAAGAUGAUUAAUAUAUAAAUUCCUCAGGUCCAGAAAUUUAUUUGAGAAUUUUAUGAGUUCCAGAAGUAUACGUUUGAUCCAGAUUACUACAGACUGUUCUGUUUUUGACAGAUUCUGUUUUUCAUGUGUUGUUUACUUAUUUUGAUGAAUCUAUGGCUAGUAAAAUAGUUUAUAAACCAUAGAGAAGUUGGAAUACAGUAGGUUUAACACCAAUAUAAAUAAAGAAUGAGUUCAUUACAGUACCUUGAAGUGGUGAUUUAUUUUCUUAUACUAACGGAGCUUACGAGUUUUCUGUUCAGUUUUGUGUUGUGAAGUUUUCAAGUUUUGGGUAAGGAUUCGAUGGACUAUGGAAUAAAGAGUGGCAAGAGCCUAAUCUUGGGUAUGCCCGAGUCACCCCAAGGUAAUAUUCAAGGAUAGCCAAGAGCCUAAGCUUGGGGAUGCCCCGGAAGGCAUCCCCUCUUUCGUCUUCGUUCAUCGGUAACUUUACUUGGAGCUAUAUUUUUAUUCGCCACAUGAUAUGUGUUUUGCUUGGAGCGUCAAUUUAUUUUGUUAGGAUUUCUUGAUGUUAUUUAGAACAAUGUUUUGCAUCUCUUAUUUCAAUAAAAGUGGCAUUGAUAGCCUUUACUAUGCCUAUGUUACAAGUAUACAUGUUGCUGUUUGAAAACAGAAAGUUUACCGCUGUUGCAAUAAUUCCCUAGAAAAGUCAGAAUGUGAUAAAAUGUUGAAACCUUUUGCAUAUUAAGAUCUGAUAAAUUUACUACAGUGGGAAUUUUAUUUCAUAAUUUUUGGAUCUAGGGAAGUAUGGAUGUUGUAGCAUUCUUUACAGACUAUCCUGUUUAGGCAGAUUGCUGUUAUGUUUGCAUUGUUUGCAUAUGUUUGCUUCUUUAAUGAUUCUAUUUGAGGAUAGGACUAUUAAAUAUGAAGAGGCAUUUAGUAUGCAAUGUUGAAUAAUAAUUUUAGUGAUUUUCUACAGUAGAGUAUGAUAAGGUUUUUGCAAUGGUCACUAACUUAUCUCACGAGUCCUUGUUGAGUUUUGUGUGGAUGAAGCUUUUGAGAUUUAGGGAGACCGUGAUAUGAGAGGAAUUAAGGAGACACAAAAGCUCAAUCUUGGGGAUUCCCAAGGCAUCCCAAGAUAAUAUUUCAAGAAGUCUCAAGCAUCUAAGCUUGGGGAUGCCCCGGUUGGCAUCCCACCUUUCUUCUUCAACAAUUAUCGGUUAGUAUCGGUUGAUCCUAAGUUUUUGCUUCUUCACAUGAUGUUUGCUAUUCUUAGAUGUAAUUUUAUUUUUCUUUGCUUGCUGUUUGAAUAGAGUACCAAGAUCUUAAAUUAUUAAAUGUUGGAGAGUCUUCACAUAGUUGCAUAAUUAUUCGACUACUCAUUGAUCUUCACUUAUAUCUUUCGGAGUAGUUUGUCAUUUGCUCUAGUGCUUCACUUAUAUCUUUUAGAGCAUGGUCGUAGUUUUAUUUUGAAGAAAUAGAUGAACUCUCAUGCUUCACUUAGAUUAUUUUGAGAGUAUUAAAUAUCAUGGUAAUUUGCUUAAAAUCCUAAUAUGCUAGGUAUACAAGAUUAAUAAUAAAAUUCUCUUAUGAGUGUGUUGAAUACUAAGAGAAGUUUGAUACUUGAUGAUUGUUUUGAGAUAUGAGGAUGGUAAUAUUAGAGUCAUGCUAGUUGAGUAGUUGUGAAUUUGAGAAAUACUUGUGUUGAAGUUUGUGAUUCCCGUAGCAUGCACGUAUGGUGAACCGUUAUGUGAUGAAGUCGGAGCAUGAUUUAUUUAUUGAUUGUCUUCCUUAUGAGUGGCGGUCGGGGAUGAGCGAUGGUCUUUUCCUACCAAUCUAUCCCCCUAGGAGCAUGCGCGUAAUACUUUGUUUCGAUAACUAAUAGAUUUUUGCAAUAAGUAUGUGAGUUCUUUACGACUAAUGUUGAGUCCAUGGAUUAUACGCACUCUCACCCUUCCACCAUUGCUAGCCUCUCUAGUACCACGCAACUUUCGCCGGUACCAUAAACCCACCAUAUACCUUCCUCAAAAUAGCCACCAUACCUACCUAUUAUGGCAUUUCCAUAGCCAUUCCGAGGUAUAUUGUCAUGCAACUUUCCACCGUUCCGUUUAUUAUGACACACUCCAUCAUUGUCAUAUUGCUUAGCAUGAUCAUGUAGUUGACAUAGUAUUUGUGGCAAAGCCAUUGUUCAUGAUUCUUUCAUACUUGUCACUCUUGAUUCAUUGCAUAUCCCGGUACACCGCCGGAGGCAUUCAUAUAGAGUCAUCUUUGUUCUCGUAUCGAGUUGUAUCAUCGAGUUGUAAAUAAAUAGAAGUGUGAUGAUCAUCAUUCAAUAGAGCAUUGUCCCAAAAAAAGGAAAGAAAGGCCAAAUAAAAAAAGAAAGGCCAAAUAAAAAAAUAAAAGGGACAAUGCUACUAUCCUUUUACCACACUUGUGCUUCAAAGUAGCACCAUGAUCUUCAUAGUAGAGAGUCUCUCAUGUUAUCACUUUCAUAUACUAGUGGGAAUUUUACAUUAUAGAACUUGGCUUGUAUAUUCCAAUGAUGCGCUUCCUCAAAUUGCCCUAGGUCUUCAUGAGCAAGCAAGUUGGAUGCACACCCACUAGUUUCUUUUGUUGAGCUUUCAUAUACUUAUAGCUCUAGUGCAUCCGUUGCAUGGCAAUCCCUACUUACUCACAUUGAUAUCUAUUGAUGGGCAUCUCCAUAGCCCGUUGAUACGCCUGGUCGAUGUGAGACUAUCUUCUCCCUUUUUUCCUCUCCACAACCACCAUUCUAUUCCACCUAUAGUGUUAUGUCCAUGACUCACGCUCAUGUAUUGCGUGAAGAUUGAAAAAGUUUGAGAACAUUAAAAGUAUGAAACAAUUGCUUGGCUUGUCAUCGGGGUUGUGCAUGAUUUAAAUAUUUUGUGUGGUGAAGAUGGAGCAUAGCCAGACUAUAUGAUUUUGUAGGGAUAGCUCUCUUUGGCCAUGUUAUUUUGAGAAGACAUGAUUGCUUAGUCAGUAUGCUUGAAGUAUUAUUGUUUUUAUGUCAAUAUUAAACUUUUGUCUUGAAUCUUAUGGAUCUGAAUAUUCAUAUCACAAGUAAGAAGAAUUACAUUGAAAUUAUGCCAACUAGCAUUCCACAUCAAAAAUUAUCUUUUUAUCAUUUACCUACUCGAGGACGAGUAGGAAUUAAGCUUGGGGAUGCUUGAUACGUCUCCAACGUAUCUAUAAUUUUUGAUUGCUCCAUGCUAUAUUAUCUACUGUUUUGGACUAUAUUGGGCUUUAUUUUCCACUUCUAUAUUAUUUUUGGGACUAACCUAUUAACCGGAGGCCCAGCCCAGAUUUGUUGUUUUAUGCCUAUUUCAGUGUUUCGAAGAAAAGGAAUAUCGAACGGAGUCGAAACGGAACAAAAUCAACUGGAGAAGUUAUUUUUGGGGCCCCCGUGGGCGCGCCCCCUGCCUCGUGGGGCCCCCGUGGCUCCUCCGACGUACCCCCUGCACCCAUAUAUACCUAUGUACCCUAAAACUUCUAGAACACAAUAGAUCGGGAGUUCCGCCGCCAGAAGCCUCCGUAGCCACCGAAAGCCAAUCUAGACCCGUUCCGGCACCCUGCCGGAGGGGGCAAUCCCUCUCCGGUGGCCAUCUUCAUCAUCCCGGUGCUCUCCAUGACGAGGAGGGAGGGUAUGUACCAGUAGCUAUGUGUUUGAUCUCUCUCUCUCUCUCUCGUGUUCUUGAGGUGAUACGAUCUUGAUGUAUCGCGAGCUUUGCUAUUAUAAUUGGAUCCUAUGAAGUUUCUUCCCCCCUCUACUCUCUUGUAAUGAAUUGAGUUUCCCCUUUGAAGUUAUCUUAUCGGAUUGAGUCUUUAAAGAUUUGAGAACACUUGAUGUAUGUCUUGCCGUGGAUAUCUAUGGUGACAAUGGGAUAUCACGUGAUUCACUUGAUGUAUGUUUUGGUGACCAACUUGCGGGUUCCGCCCAUGAACCUAUGCAUAGGGGUUGGCACACAUUUUCGUCGUGAUUCUCUGGUAGAACUUUGGGGCACUCUUUGAGGUCCUUUGUGUUGGUUGAAUAGAUGAAUCUGAAAUUGUGUGACGCAUAUCGUAUAAUCAUACCCACGGAUACUUGAGGUGACAUUGGAGUAUCUAGGUGACAUUAGGGUUUUGGUUGAUUUGUAUCUUAAGGUGUUAUUCUAGUACGAACUCUAGGGCUGUUUGUGACACUUAUAGGAAUAGCCCAACGGAUUGAUUGGAAAGAAUAACUUUGAGGUGGUUUCGUACCCUACCAUAAUCUCUUCAUUCGUUCUCCGCUAUUAGUGACUUUGGAGUGACUCUUUGUUGCAUGUUGAUGGAUAGUUAUGUGAUCCAAUUAUGUUAGUAUUGUUGAGAGGACUUACACUAGUGAAAGUAUGAACCCUAGGCCUUGUUUCCUAGCAUUGCAAUACCGUUUACGCUCACUUUUAUCAUUAGUUACCUUGCUGUUUUUAUAUUUUCAGAUUACAAAAACUAUUAUCUACUAUCCAUAUUGCACUUGUAUCACCAUCUCUUCGCCGAACUAGUCCACCUACACAAUUUACCAUUGUAUUGGGUGUGUUGGGGACAUAAGAGACUCUUUGUUAUUUGGUUACAGGGUUGCUUGAGAGAUACCAUCUUCAUCCUACGCCUCCUACGGAUUGAUAAACCUUAGGUCAUCCACUUGAGGGAAAUUUGCUACUGUCCUACAAACCUCUGCACUUGGAGGCCGAACAAUGUCUACAAGAAGAAGGUUGUGUAGUAGACAUCUUCCACCGCCGUGGUGCUCUCGGUGUGGCGUGGUCAAUGUGGUCAACGACCGACUUCCAUCGAAAGAGUACUGUGCGUGGAGACGCUGACAGCUGGGUCCACGGCCGCAGCAAGGAAGUGCCUCCUUAUUACGCGCAAAAUAAUUAUUCCUCCACCUGACAGCGGGGACGUACCGGAUGGGCCACCUUAUUUCGCGAAAAAAAUGUUUGCCCCUGACUGCUGGGACCCACCAGCUACAUCUUCGCACGCAAGGAAGUGCCUGACAGUCGGGACCCACCUGGUCGAAGCGUACGUAGCGUUGUCAUUCUGGUCGCGAACGUGUACGUACAUAUAUACUGGUCGAUGUAGAGGCGCGCACGUGUCCUAGUACAGGCGCGCACGUAGCAUGUACACGUACGUACAGCGGCCAGGGUGCAAGAAAGAAAAUAUGGUCACGUAUGUGUACAUACGGGCGGGGUCUCGAAUGCCUACUCGCGCAUAUGUACGGCCAGGGCUCGUGUACAUGGCUGGGUCGGAACGGAGAAACAACGUCGUCGUCGUGUUCAUGGGGAGGCAAUGGAAUGCAUCGUGUUCAUGGGGAGGCAACGGAAUGCGUCGUGUUCAUGGGGAGGGCUUGGACGGAACAGGCGAUGGAAACGAGGCCUGGUGUAUCGCAGAACGGAGGAAACGGCCUUGUGUUCGACCGGCCAUGUUCGAAACGGGAUCAUGUUCAUCGGGAGGGGUCUGGCGUACCGCAAAACGGAGGAAACGGACCUCCUACGAUCGAAACAGGGGUCCUGUUCAUCGGGAAGGGUGUGGCGUACCGCAAAAUGGAGGAAACGGACUUGUGUUGGAGUGCUACGGUCGAAACGGGGGUCCUGUUCAUCGGGAGGGGUGUGGCGUACCGCAAAACGGGACUCCAUGGGAUACUGUUCAUCUCCACCGUCGACCCCCUCCAGCCUCCACGAGCUACUGUUCAUCCACCGUCGACCUCCUCUAGCCUCCACCUGCGACUGUUUAUCCACGGGAUCCUGUUCAUCCAGCCUCCAGCACGCGCUACUCCACCGUCUACUGUUCAACCAGCCCUCUCCACGGGCUCCUGUUCAACCACCCCUCCACGGGCUACUAUUCAUCUUGCCCUCCACCGUCUACUGUUCAUCCAGCCCUCCACGGGGUGGUCCUGUUCAUCCAGCCCUCCACGGGGUCCUGUUCAUCCAGCCCCAACCGNNNNNNNNNNNNNNNNNNNNNNNNNNNNNNNNNNNNNNNNNNNNNNNNNNNNNNNNNNNNNNNNNNNNNNNNNNNNNNNNNNNNNNNNNNNNNNNNNNNNNNNNNNNNNNNNNNNNNNNNNNNNNNNNNNNNNNNNNNNNNNNNNNNNNNNNNNNNNNNNNNNNNNNNNNNNNNNNNNNNNNNNNNNNNNNNNNNNNNNNNNNNNNNNNNNNNNNNNNNNNNNNNNNNNNNNNNNNNNNNNNNNNNNNNNNNNNNNNUCAGUUAACAGCCAUCGAUCGAUCGCUCGGGUUCAGUAACGCAUAGCCUGCAGUGCAAUCGCUCGGGUUCAGUUAGAGCCCAACGCCUCGCUCGGGUUCAGUCAGAGCCAACGCCUCGCACACAUGUGCGUACGUGUACGAGAGAAGCGCGCAUCGCUCGGCCCCCGACCUCCCACCGUAACCGGGAACUCCCCGAAAUUUUCCUCCCCCUCGCUUCUACCACGGUUUUUUCCGUCAUGGACGGCCCAAAGAAUGUCAUGCAGAUGCGUCUCCGGCCCACCCAGGACGAAAAUCCCAUUUUCUGUCAUGAUUUUUUGUCAUAGAAGUAGGAGCCCACCACAUCUAUGAUGAUACCGGGUUUUGUCACAAUUAUCGUCAUAGAAGUGUCAUAUGUAUGACAGAAAAAAAUUUCGUUCAGCCCAAAAUGUCACGGAUGUGUCUUUUUUUGUAGUGAGAGGAGUAUGAACCCUCGAAAACUUUUAGGUUCACACAGAUUAAGGAAGGCAUAGGUUCAACCCAUCAGGGCAUCUUAGAAACAUAUGCCACAAGCUUCGAGAGUAAUUAUCACCAGCUCAAAAGUGGAGCAUGGUUGACCAAAUCGGAGAAUAGGAUUUACCGAUGGCAUUAUGUAUCAGGGAAAGAACUUCCAAAGUGAUUGAAUAUGAGGGACGUUGUCGGAUAAAAUCCAACAAAGGAUCCGAUGGUCCUCAAGGGAUCUGAUGUAAACAUCGGUACUCAAAGAGAGGAAGAAACAAUGCAAAGGCAUUGGAUUCUAGAAACAAGUAACUAAUUCAAAGCUCAAAUGCAAAGGAAUUGUGAUUUCCAAAUCAAGGGAUCAGAAGCAAACGCUCUGAUUAAGGAUGUAUAAGUUGAGGUAGGCUUAGGGAUACCAUCGAUGGUAAUUUGAUUGGUCGAGACCCAGCUCAUGUUUAAAAUGACAUCUGAGCCGGAAGGAUGAACUCUGGGUUGGAUCGAUGAUUGCGCAAACAUAUUGGAUCAAAGACUCAAAAUGACGAUGACAAAGGAUGCUCGUGAAUAUUGAUGUACAUAUGGAAAGUAACCAUAAUGCAAGCAGACAAGUAUUUGCAGAGCAAUAGUUGGCAAUGUGUUAUCAGAAGACCGGAUAGUAUUUCAAAGUAUCUUGUGGAUCACAUGAUCAACUAGGAAUGUAAAAUUCCUCGAUGAGUGUGAGGGAUUAUCCGUAGAUGUAUUAAAGCGAAAAUGGAGCUGCAAGGCAGCAGGCAUAAUGGAUUCUCGGGAUAUUAGAAUGUUUCAGGGAAUCUUAAGAACAAGAGCAAUUGGGGAUGAAGGUAUGAACGACAAAUGCAGGUAGUUAUCCAUAACAAUUUAUCGGUGGUAGGGAUUGCAAUGGCAAAGGGCACAAGGGUCUCGGGAAAACAUCCAAGAGUAUCUUCGGAAUCUUCUGGCGCAGCAGGCGAUCAUCUAUAAUAAGGGGCUCUCCGGGAGGAAGUAGUUACGAGAACCUAGAGUCAGAGUUAGUAAAAUCAUUUAACCCGAAUAGAAGGUAUUUCAGAGACCCAGAGUAAAGAUCGAGGAAUAAAAGAUCCUAAUAUCACCCAAUGGCGACGUGGGCCCAUAAGACACACAAUCAUGUUAGUAAAAGUUUUGCAAUGACUAGACCCGACUUCGGCCAAGGAGUUUGGAAGGGGGAUUUCUACAGGAAGUCGGCUCUGAUACCAACUUGUGACGCCCUCAAUUCAAUCAUACACUAAUCAUACACGCAAACGUAUACAAUCAAGAUCAGGGACUCACAGGAAGAUAUCACAACACAACUCUAAAAAUAAAAUAAGUCAUACAAGCAUCAUAUUACAAGCCAGGGGCCUCGAGGGCUCGAAUACAAGAGCUCGAUCAUAGACGAGUCAGCGGAAGCAACAAUAUCUUAGUACAGACAUAAGUUAAACAAGUUGCCAUAAGAUGGCUAGCACAAACUGGGAUCAGAUCGAAAGAGGCGCAGGCCUCCUGCCUGGGAUCCUCCUAAACUACUCCUGAUCAUCGGCGGUGGCCUGCACAUAGUAGUAGGCACCUCCAGUGUAGUAGGAGUCGUCGUCGACGGUGGCCUCUGGCUCCUGGGCUCCAACAUCUAAUUGCGACAACCGAGAAGAAAGGAAAGGGAUAAAAGGAGGAGCAAGCCAACCGUGAGUACUCAUCCAAAGUACUCGCAAGCAAGGAUCUACACUACAUAUGCAUUGGUAUCAAUGAAAUGGGUAGUACCUGUGGACAAAACUGUAGAAUGCCAUAAUAAAAGGGGGAGAGCUAGUCCUAUCGAAGACUACGCUUCUGGCAGCCUCCAUCCUGAAGCAGUAGAAGAGAGUAGAUGGUAAGUUAACCAAGUAUCAUCGCAUAGCAUAAUCCUACCCGGCGAUCCUCCCCUCCUCGCCCUGUGAGAGAGUGAUCACCGGGUUGUAUCUGGCACUUGAAAGGGUGUAUUUUAUUAAGUAUCCGGUUCUAGUUGUCAUAAGGUCAAGGUACAACUCCAGGUCGUCCUUUUACCGAGGGACACGGCUAUUCGAAUAAAUAAACUUCCCUGCAAGGGUGUACCACAUAACCCAACACGCUCAAUCCCUCUGGCCAGACACACUUUCCUGGGUCAUGCCCGGCCUCGGAAGAUCAACACGUCACAGCCCCACCUAGGCAUAACAAAGAGGUCAACACGCCAGUCUAAAUCCUAUGCAUGCAGGGGUCUGGGCCCAUCGCCCAUUGCACACCUGCACGUUGUGAAAGCGGUCGGAAGCAGACCUAGCCCCCUUGAUUCAAGCGCAGGCUUACGGUCCAAUCCGGCGCGCGUCGCUCAGUCACUGACGCCAAGAAGUCUUCGGCUGAUACCACAACGUCGAGUGCCCAUAACUGUUCUCGCGUAGUUGGUUAGUGCGUAUAGGCCAGUGGCCAGACUCAGAUCAAAUACCAAGAUCUCGUUAAGUGUGUUAAUUGAUGUAACCACGGACGCCGACCAGGGCCAGGCCCACCUCUCACCUAGGUGGUCUCAACCUGCCUUGUCGCUCCGCUACAAAGGUCAACUCAGAGGGCCGUCGGGACAAAUGUUCUUUCGGUCCCAAUCCGUGAAUCACUCGCAGGUACUCUAUGAGCCAACCCGAGUUUAGUCACCACAUGUAUCAUAUAUUAUGUAUAUAAUAUAUACCCGUGAUAGCAUGGCAGACGAACAAGAAUGUAAGGCCACUGAUGGAAUACUAGCAUCCUAUACUAAGCAUUUAGGAUUGCAGGUAAAGGUAACAACAGUAGUAGCGAAGACAUGCUAUGCAUCAGAAUACGAUUAACGGAAAGCAGUAACAUGCUACACUACUCUAACGCAAGCAGUAGAGAGAAGAAUAGGUGAUAUCUGGUUGAUUAAGGGGGGCUUGCCUGGUUGCUCUGGCAAGGAGGGGUCGUCAACAACGUAGUCGAUCGAGGCACCAGCAGCGGCGUCAGUCUCGUAGUCUACCAGGGAGAAGAGGCGGAAGAAACAAUAAAUACAAUGCAAACAGAUGCAUAUUAAUGCAUGACAUGACAAGUAACGGCGCCAGGUGUGCCCUAACGCUGCAGGAGGUGAUACCAGCGAAGGGGGGAAACAUCCGAGAAAGUAUCACCGGUGUUUCGCGUUUUCGGAUAGACGAGCCGGAGGAGGAAAGUUGUGUGUUCGCUAUGCUAGGGAUGUGUGGCGGACUAACAGACUAAGUAUCCAGAUUCGUCCCGUCUUUCUGGGUAAGUUUCAUGUAUGAAGUAUUUUCAUCAGAGUUACGGAUUAUUUUAUAUUAAUUUUUAAAGUUUUAAUUCAAUUUUUAUAAUCUAUCUUAAUUUGAAACUAAAAGAAAAAAAUGCUAAGUGUACCCAGCAGGGUACACUGUGGCUGACAUGUGGGACAGGGGGGUCCAAUUGACCAGUCAAAAUUUGACUGGUCAACAGGGGGUGGGGCCCCCUGUCAUACACUAUUUUAACUAACUAAGUAAUUAGUUUACUUAAUCAAAAUUUGUUAAGUUGAUUACUUAUUUAAUUAACUAGUUAAUUUACUUAAGUUAAUUCUUUAAUCCUUUUUAUUUCAUUUUUGUUCUUUGAUCUACACAGGGGUGGGGCGGGCGGUAGCGAGCGCAGCUAACGGGUGCGAGGGGCCGCUGCCGGGCGGAGGCCUUAGCCCGAUGCGGGACAACGGCAAGUGGCGCCGGCAGCGGUCGGGGCGGCCCCGGGCAGAGGCAGCAGCUGCUGCAACAGCAACAGCAGUAGCAGGCGACGACAGCAUGAUGGAGCGGGGCGGGAGGCGGCAGCAGCAGCAGAAGAAGUGGGCGGAGCAGGAGGCGGGCGCGCGGGGGGGCAGGCCCAACGUGCGAGCGUGUGCGCGGGCGUGGGCUGGUGGCCACAGGGGCAGAGGGGCACCGGGGAGGCGUGGCCUCGGACGCGGCGAGGGCGGGUGGUGCGGCGACAAAUGGAGCAGGGGGGUUGUCGGGCGAGGCCACGGCGGAGGGGCAGCGUGCAUGGCAACCGCAAGCAGAGGCAGCAGGUCGACUGGGUGCGUGCGGUGCGAGCGGCUGCAGGCGAGGCGAGCGAGCAGCGGGUGACGGCGGGUGCUCGGGCGCGAGGAGCGGUGGACGGGGACGAGCGAGGGAGAGGGGAGGUGGAGGCCGGGCCUCACUUGCGGUGCAGGGGAAUAGCAGCGGGCUCGAGGAGGAGGACUGGGACGACGGUGAGGUCGAGGCGGUGGUGCGACGACAGGGCGGCGUGGAGCUCCGACCGACGGCGACGAGCAGCUACGGCGGGGUGGUCCGACAAUGGGGAGGUCUUUAGGAGGCAGUGGACGGGGCAGGGAGCGCCGGCGAUGGCGGGCGGCGUCGGGUUGGGCGCCGAUGUCUGGCUCGGGGGCGACGGGAUUGGGGCGGCGUGCGUUGGGGCGCCCCCGAUCUAGAUCGCAUGGAGGAGUGGGGAUCGUGUGGAGUGGGGGAGUUAGGUUAGGGUUCCUUGGGGUGGGGGUAUGUGUAGGCCGGGGUGGGCCGGCCUGGCUGGGACAUGGCCUAGUUGGGUCGGGGGCUUUCUUUUUCUCCCUUUUUUUAGUUUUCAUUUUUCUUUUCUGUUAUUCACUUAUCUAAUGUUUCGUAUAUUAUUUUGCUAGCUAAUGAGUUUUGUUUAGUACAAAACUUCACACAUAAAUGUUAUGCAAUAUUAUUAGGUUGUACAAAAAGUUUGAAAUAUUUUUGAUUAGUUUAAAUAUUUGUUCAAUCGUAAAUGGUUAAGUUAAAUGAAGUUGGUUCCUGUUUUAAUUAAUUUAGAGACACAUGAUUAUUUCAAAAAUGUUGAUUGAUGCUCUAUAAUUAGUUAGUGAAUAUUUACAACCCUUUGAACAUUUUUAAAUCUCUGUUUGUUGAAUUUUAUAAUUUGACUUGUUAUUUAAAUUUCAAAUUGAACUCGGUUUGAAACGAGUGAGGUUUAGCAAAAAUCAAUCAUGAUGACCUGGCAUCAUUAGCAAGGGUUUAUUGUAUCUUAACUAUCGAGGUGUCACAUACCCCGCUAGUGCCGCCGGUUCUUGCUGCUGCUGCUUCCCAGGCUGAUCGGGAUGCAGCCAAGGCUCUUGAUGAUGCUGCGGUUGAGGCCUAUGAUCAACAGGUAUCCGCCUAUUCAGAUGAUCUUUCGGUCUACCGCGAUGAUUUGUCUGCUUACACUCAGUGGUGCAAUGAUGAUGCUCGAGCUGCUGUCGUUCUCACUGCGAGUGUCCUCCCUCAGUUUGCUUCGGAGUUUAUAGGACUCGGCAUAGUUGCAGCGAUGUGGCCUUAUCUCUGUCAGUGCUAUCAGCCCUCUGGUGAUGCUCUCUACCUAUCUGUGGUGCGUCAGGAGCACGCACUCUAGCAAGGUUAUUCCUCUGUUGAUGAGUUCUAUUCACAGUGCUCUGUCAUUUGGCGCCAGCUUGAUUCUCUUUGCACAGUUGUUUGUGGAACUUGUCAUUGCUUCCAGACUACGCGAUCUGAUUUGGAGUUUCAGAGGGUCCAUGAGUUCUUAUCUCGUCUCCGUUCUGAGUUCGAGCCUCGACAUGCUCACUUGCUUUCUCGUGGUCGUGUGCCCAUCUCGGAGGUACUUGCUGAGCUUCGUGAUAAGGAGACCCGCCUUCGCUCUGCUGGGUUGCUUGCGAUUCCAUCAGUGUUGGCUGCCCGAGCUCCUGUGUCCUCUGCUCGUCCCACAGCUCCACCACUCCUGCCCACACCUACAGGGGGGUUGGUCGCCCUCUAUAUGUCGAGAAGGGUCGGUCGUGCCAUGACACCUUUUGCGGCUACUACCCUCGGCCAGGUCACCCAGAGUCUGAUUGCCGUGAGAAGAAGCGUGACCAGAGGCGCUCCUCUUCCAGUGGGACUCCUGGAUCUUCCUCGACUCAGUCAGUCACUGACCAGGACAUCGUGCGGCUCAAGCGCCUUCUGGCUUCCUCCAGUUCUUCAUCGACGGGUUCUGCUGCUGCUGUGACUGCUUUCACCACCUCAUCACCGCCAGCAUCUACACCGUCAGGUACAUCGUCGUGGGUUCUGGACUCUAGAGCUUCCUCUCAUAUGUCCUCUGAUCCUUCAGUGUUGUCUUCUCUUCGCCCUCUUGAUUCUCUUAUUAAUGUUCUUACUGCCGAUGGCACAUCUCUCCCUGUUGCUAGUCUUGGUAUUCUUUCUACUCCAUCAUUUUCGGUUCCUAGUGUUUCUCAUGCUCCUUGCCUUACCAUGAACCUUUUUUCCGCUGCCCAACUUGUUAAUUCUGGUUGUCAUGUCAUUCUUGAUACCGACUCUCGCUCCAUUCAGGAUCAUCGCACCAAGGUUUUGGUUGGUGCUAGCCCCCGGCGCCGUGAGCUAGAGGGCCUUUGGGAGGUUUACUAGCUUUGUGUUUCUUCCGCUACCACCACUUCUGCCAGUUCUCAUGCUCUUGUUACCUCUUCGUCUGUGUCCUUCCGACAGUGGCAUCAUCGCCUUGGUCAUAUCUGUGGCUCUCGCUUGUCAUCAUUAGUGCAUCAAGGCCUCUUAGGGUCUGUAUCUGGAGAUGUUUUUUACAUUUUAAUGGUUGUAGACUUGGCAAACAGACCCAGUUACCUUAUCCUAUCAGUGAGUCGGUAUCUCAACGCCCCUUUGACCUCGUUCAUUUGGAUGUCUUGGGUCCUUCUCCCUUUGAUUCGAAAGGUGGUCAUCACUACUAUGUUCUGUUUAUUGUUGAUUUCGCUCGCUACACUUGGCUCUACUUCAUGAAAUCUCAUAGCGAGGUUCUCUCUAUGUACAAACGAUUUGCUACCAUGGUUCACACCCAGUUUUCCACACCUAUUUGUACUUUUCAUGCUGACUCCGCUGGAGAGUAUAUCUCCCAACUAUUGCGUGGAUUUCUCGCGGAACAGGGUACUCUUGCCCAGUUCUCUUGUCUUGGUGCUCAUGCUCAGAAUGGUGUUGCGGAAAGUAAGCACCGUCAUUUGCUUGAGACGGCUCGUGCAUUGAUGAUUGCUGCUACCUCUUGAGCAUGCAUUGGUUUUCCCUUGAAGAGGAAAGGGUGAUGCAGCAAAGUAGCGUAAGUAUUUCCCUCAGUUUUUGAGAACCAAGGUAUCAAUCCAGUAGGAGGUAACAAGCAAGUCCCUAUUACCUACACAAACAAACAAGAACCUCACAACCAACGCGAUAAAGGGGUUGUCAAUCCCUUCAUGGUCACUUACGAAAGUGAGAUCUGAUAGAGAUAAUAAGAUAAAUAUUUUUGGUAUUUUUAUUGUAUAGAUUGGAAAAUAAACAUUGCAAAAUAAACAACGAUAGAAAUAGCAAGUAAAUAGUAAAAUAGUAUGAUGGAAGAUAGACCCGGGGGCCAUAGGUUUCACUAGUGGCUUCUCUCAAGAUAGCAAAUUCUAUGGUGGGUGAACAAAUUACUAUCGAGCAAUUGAUAGAAAAGCGCAUAGUUAUGAGAAUAUCUAGGCAUGAUCAUGUAUAUAGGCAUCACGUCCGCGACAAGUAGACCGAAAUGAUUCUGCAUCUACUACUAUUACUCCACACAUCGACCGCUAUCCAGCAUGCAUAUAGAGUAUUAACUUCAUAAGAAUAGGGUAACGCAUUAGGCAAGAUGACAUGAUGUAGAGGGAUAAACUCAAGCAAUAUGAUAUAAACCCCAUCUUUUUAUCCUCGUUGGCAACGAUACAAUACGUGCCUUGCUGCCCCUGCUGUCACUGGGAAAGGACACCGCAAGAUUGAACCCAAAGCUAAGCACUUCUCCCAUUGCAAGAAAGAUCAAUCUAGUAGGCCAAACCAAACUGAUAAUUCGAAGAGACUUGCAAAGAUAUUAAAUCAUGCAUAAGAGAAUUCAGAGAAGAAUCAAAUAUUGUUCAUAGAUAAUCUUGUUCAUAAACCCACAAUUCAUCGGAUCUCGACAAACACACCGCAAAAAGAAUUACAUCGAAUAGAUCUCCAAGAGAAUCGAGGAGAAUUUUGUAUUGAGAUCCAAAGAGAGAGAAGAAGCCAUCUAGCUAAUAACUAUGGACCCGAAGGUCAGUGGUAAACUACUCACACAUCAUCAAAGAGGCUAUGGUGUUGAUGUAGAAGCCCUCCGUGAUUUAUUCCCCCUCCGACGGAGCGCCGGAAAAGGCCCCAAGAUGGGAUCUCUUGGGUACAGAAGGUUGCGGCGGUGGAAAUAGGGUUUCGUGGUGCUCCUGGAUGUUUUCAGGGUAUAUGGGUAUAUAUAGGAUGAAGAAGUAGGUCGGUGGAGCUGCGAGGGGCCCACGAGGAUGGGGGCGCGCCCUCCUGCCUCGUGGCCUCCUCGCUUCUUUCUUGACGUCCACUCCAAGUAUCCUAGAUUGCAUUUGUUUCAAAAAUAACUCUCCCGAAGGUUUUAUUCCAUUUGGAUUCCGUUUGAUAUUCCUUUUCUGUGAAACACUGAAAUAGGCAAAAAAACAGUAAGUUGCACUGGGCCUUUGGUUAAUACGUUAGUCCCAAAAAUAUUAUAAAAAGGUAUAUUAAAGCCCAUUAAACAUCCAAAACAGAUAAUAUAAUAGCAUGGAACAAUCAAAAAUUAUAGAUACGUUGGAGACGUAUCAAGUACCCCCAAGCUUAAUUCCUGCUCGUCCUCGAGUAGGUAAAUGAUAAAAACAGAAUUUUUGAUGUGGAAUGUUACCUAGCAUAAUUCUCAAUGUAAUUUCCUUUAUUGUGGCAUGAAUGUUCAGAUCCGAAAGAUUCAAGACAAAAGUUUAAUAUUGACAUAAAAAUAAUAAUACUUCAAGCAUACUAACAAAGCAAUCGUGUCUUCUCAAAAUAACAUGGCCAAAGAAAGUUAUCCCUAUUAAAUCAUAUAGUCUGGCUAUGCUCUAUCUUCAUCACACAAAGUAUUUAAUCAUGCACAACCCCGAUGACAAGCCAAGCAAUUGUUUCAUACUUUUGAUGUUCUCAAACUUUUGCAAUCUUCAUGCAAUACAUGAGCGUGAGCCAUGGACAUAGCACUAUAGGGGGAAUAGAAUGGUGGUUGUGGAGAAGACAAAAAGGAGAAGAUAGUCUCACAUCAACUAGGCAUAUCAACAGGCUAUGGAGAUGCCCAUCAAUAUAUAUCAAUGUGAGUGAGUAGGGAUUGCCACGCAACGGAUGCACUAGAGCUAUAAGUGUAUGAAAGCUCAACAAAAGAAACUAAGUGGGUGUGCAUCCAACUCGCUUGCUCACGAAGACCUAGGGCAUUUUGAGGAAGCCCAUCAUUGGAAUAUACAAGCCAAGUUAUAUAAUGUAAAAUUCCCACUAGUAUAUGAAAGUGACAACAAAGGAGACUCUCUAUCAUGAAGUGCUUGCUCACGAAGACCUAGGGCAUUUUGAGGAAGCCCAUCAUUGGAAUAUACAAGCCAAGUUAUAUAAUGUAAAAUUCCCACUAGUAUAUGAAAGUGACAACAAAGGAGACUCUCUAUCAUGAAGAUCAUGGUGCUACUUUGAAGCACCAGUGUGGUAAAAGGAUAGUAACGUUGUCCCUUAUCUCUUUUUCUCUCAUUUCUCCUUUUUUCUUUUUUUUAUUUGGACCUUUUCUCUUUUUUUAUGGCCUCCUUUUUUCUUUUCUUUUUUCUUUUUCGUCCGGAGUCUCAUUCCGACUUGUGGGGGAAUCAUAGUCUCCAUCAUCCUUUCCUCACAUGGGGCAAUGCUCUAAUAAUGAUGAUCAUCACACUUUUAUUUAGUUACAACUCAAAAAUUACAACUUGAUAAUAGAACAAAAUAUGACUCUAUGUGAAUGCCUCCGGCGGUGUACCGGGAUGUGCAAUGAAUCAAGAGUGACAUGUAUGAAAGAAUUAUAAAGGUGGCUUUACCACAAAUACGAUGUCAACUACAUGAUCAUGCAAAGCAAUAUGGCAAUGAUGUAACAAACGGAAUGGUGGUAAGUUGCAUGGCAAUAUAUCUCGGAAUGGCUAUGGAAAUGCCAUAAUAGGUAGGUAUGGUGGCUGUUUUGAGGAAGGUAUAUGGUGGGUGUAUGGUACCAGCAAAAGUUGCGCGGUACUAGAGAGGCUAGCAAUGGUGGAAGGGUGAGAGUGUGUAUAAUCCAUGGACUCAACAUUAGUCAUAAAGAACUCACAUACUUAUUACAAAAAUCUAUUAGUUAUCGAAACAAAGUACUACGCACAUGCUCCUGGGGGGAUAGAUUGGUAGGAAAAGACCAUCGCUCGUCCCCGACCGCCACUCAUAAGGAAGACAAUCAAUAAAUAAAUCAUGCUCCGACUUCAUCACAUAACGGUUCACCAUACGUGCAUGCUACGGGAAUCACAAACUUUAGAACAAUUAUUUAUCAAAUUCACAACUAAUCAACUAGCAUGACUCUAAUAUCACCAUCUUCAUAUCUCAAAACAAUUAUCAAGUAUCAAACUUCUUAUAGUAUUCAAUGCACUUUUUAUGAAAGUUUUUAUUAUACCCAUCUUGGAUGCCUAUCAUAUUAGGACUAAUUUUAUAGCCAAAGAAAAUUACCAUGCUGUUCUAAAAGACUCUGAAAAUAAUAUAAGUGAAGCAUGAGAGAUCAAUAAUUUCUAUAAAAUAAAACCACCACCAUGCUCUAAAAGAUAUAAAUGAAGCACUAGAGCAAAAUUAUCUAGCUCAAAAAGAUAUAAGUGAAGCACAUAGAGUAUUCUAAUAAAUUCCGAUUCAUGUGUGUCUCUCCAAAAGGUGAGUACAGCAAGGAUGAUUGUGGUAAACUAAAAAGUAAAGACUCAAAUCAUACAAGAAGCUCCAAGCAAAACACAUAUCAUGUGGUGAAUAAAAAUAUAGCAUCAAGUAAAGUUACCGAUGGACGAAGACGAAAGAGGGGAUGCCUUCCGGGGCAUCCCCAAGCUUAAUUAGGCUUUUGGUUGUCCUCGAAUUUUACCUUGGGUUGACUUGGGCAUCCUCAUGAUUAGGCUCUUGCCACUCCUUAUUCCAAAAUCUAUCAAAUCUUUACCCAAAACUUGAAAACUUCACAACACAAAACUCAACAGAAAAUCUAAUGAGCUCCGUUAGUAUAAAAAAACAAACCACCACUUAUAGGUACUGUAAUGAACUCAUUUUUUAUUUAUAUUGGUGUUAAGCCUACUGCAUUCCAACUUCUCUAUGGUUCAUACCCCCCGAUACUAGCCAUAGAUUCAUGAAAAUAAGCAAACAACACACGAAAAACAGAAUCUGUCAAAAACAGAACAGUCUGUAGUAAUCUGUAGGUUUCGAAUACUUAUGUAACCCCAAAAAUUCUUAAAUAAAUUGGUGGGCGUGAGGAAUUUGUGUAUUAAUCAUCUGAAAAAAUAAUCAACCUAAUCGCACUCUCCAGUAAAAAAUGGUAGCAAAUCUCAUGAGCGCUAAAGUUUCUGUUUUUUACAGCAAGAUCGCGAAGACUUCCCCCAAGUCUUCCCAAAGGUUCUACUUGGCACAAACACUAAUUAAAAGCAUAAAACCACAUCUAAACAGAAUCUAGAUGAAUUAUUUAUUACUAAACAGGAACAAAAAAACAAUAAACAAAAAUAAAAUUCGGUUGCCUCCCAACAAGCGCUAUCGUUUAACGCCCCUAGCUAGGCAUAAAAACAUGAAUAGAUCUAGGUAUUGUCAUCUUUAGUAUGCAAUUCUUCGAUAGAACACUUAUAACCCUUAGGAGUUUCCUUCUUUUUAUUAAUGAUCAAACUCCUAAGCAAGAAAUCAAGAAAUUCAUUUGUAGCAAAAGGUUCCUUAAUGAUAGCGAAAAAGUUGGGGUGAACACUUAUUGCUUUGAGAGCCGCAUUUUGCUUACUAGAAGAUUCACCUUUAUUUUUAGGCACAUACAUAAACUUGGCAACUCUAGUAGUAGGAGGAUUUGGAGUAUUUUUCACAGAAGAAAAGGCAGACCCUAAGUUGGUAAUAAUAUCCUCAAGUUUAUCAAUUCUUGUGGAAUCUUGAUCUAUCUUUUCGUUAACUAUGGGUUCUUUUUCUUUAAAAAAAUUCAGAGUAACUCCUACCUUAGAUCCAUAUUGGGUAAUCUGGUUGUGGAUCCUUUUAUCCAAAUUCUCAAUCAACUCUACAGUGGCAAGUUUAUUUUCAAUAAUUUCAAGCCUUUGCAUCACAUGUUCCAAAGUUAAAAUAGUUCCAUUAACCAAGAGAGGUGGUGGCCCAAACAAAGUAUGGCUACACAAGAAAUUCCCUCCGGUAAUGGUAUCAAAAAUAUAUCUAUUCCAAGGGGUGAUGCCUACAUAAAAAUUGUGAAGAAGAACGGAAGUGGAUUGCUUCCUAGUGGAUCUAUUCUGAGCAUUGCAAAUUCUAUACCAAGCAUCUUUUAAAUUUUCUCCCUCCCUUUGUUUAAAAUUAAGAACUUCAUGAUCGGGAGUACUAACGAUGAUAGAAGGGCUAGCCAAUGAUCUAACACACGGAUACACAAGAAGCAAGCAAAAAGAGACGAACGGAAAAGAGGGCGAAUAAAACGGCAAGGGUGAAGUGGGGGAGAGGAAAAUGAGAGGCAAAUGGCAAAUAACGUAAUGCGAGGGAUAAGAGUUUGUGAUGGGUACUUGGUAUGUCUUGACUUGUGCGUAGAUCUCCCCAGCAAUAGCGCCAGAAAUGGAUUGUUGACGGGAGGUCAAAUCUUGACUUGACUUGGUGCAACCUCCCCGGCAACGGCGCCAUAAAUCCUUCUUGCUACCUCUUGAGCAUGCGUUGGUUUUCCCUUGAAGAGGAAAGGGUGAUGCAGCAAAGUAGCGUAAGUAUUUCCCUCGGUUUUUUAGAACCAAGGUAUCAAUCCAGUAGGAGGUAACACGCAAGUCCCUAGUACCUGCACAAACAAACAAGAACCUCGCAACCAAUGCGGUAAAGGGGUUGUCAAUCCCUUCAAGGUCAUUUACGAAAGUGAGAUCUGAUAGAGAUAAUAAGAUAAAUAUUUUUGGUAUUUUUAUUGUAUAGAUUGGAAAAUAAAGAUUGCAAAAUAAAUAACAAUAGAAAUAGCAAGUAAAUAGUAAAAUAGUAUGAUCGAAGAUAGACCCGGGGGCCAUAGGUUUCACUAGUGGCUUCUCUCAAGAUAGCAAAUUCUAUGGUGGGUGAACAAAUUACUAUCGAGCAAUUGAUAGAAAAGCGCAUAGUUAUGAGAAUAUCUAGGCAUGAUCAUGUAAAUAGGCAUCACGUCCGUGACAAGUAGACCGAAACGAUUCUGCACCUACUACUAUUACUCCACACAUCGACCACUAUCCAGCAUGCAUCUAGAGUAUUAAGUUCAUAAGAACAGAGUAACGCAUUAGGCAAGAUGACAUGAUGUAGAGGGAUAAACUCAAGCAAUAUGAUAUAAACCCCAAUUUUUUAUCUUCGAUGGUAACAAUACAAUACAUGCCUUGCUGCCCCUGCUGUCACUGGGAAAGGACACCGCAAGAUUGAACCCAAAGCUAAGCACUUCUCCCAUUGCAAGAAAGAUCAAUCUAGUAGGCCAAACCAAACUGAUAAUUCGAAGAGACUUGUAAAGAUAUUAAAUCAUGCAUAAAAGAAUUCAGAGAAGAAUCAAAUAUUGUUCAUAGAUAAUCUUGAUCAUAAACCCACAAUUCAUAGGAUCUCGACAAACACACCGCAAAAAGAAUUACAUCGAAUAGAUCUCCAAGAGAAUCAAGGAGAACUUUGUAUUGAGAUCCAAAGAGAAAGAAGAAGCCAUCUAGCUAAUAAGUAUGGACCCGAAGGUCUGUGGUAAACUACUCACACAUCAUCGAAGAGGCUAUGGUGUUGAUGUAGAAGCCCUCCAUGAUCGAUUUCCCCUUCGGCGGAGCGCCGGAAAAGUCCCCAAGAUGGGAUCUCACGGGUACAGAAGGUUGUGGCGGUGGAAAUAGGGUUUCGUGGUGCUCCUGGAUGUUUUCAGGGUAUAUGGGUAUAUAUAUAGGAGGAAGAAGUAGAUCGGUGGAGCUGCGAGGGGCCCACGAGGGUGGGGGCACGCCCUCCUGCCUCGUGGCCUCCUCGCUUCUUUCUUGACGUCCACUCCAAGUCUCCUGGAUUGUGUUUGUUUCAAAAAUAACUCUCCCGAAGGUUUCAUUCUGUUUGGAUUCCGUUUGAUAUUCCUUUUCUGCGAAACACUGAAAUAGGCAAAAAAACAGCAAUUUGCACUGGGCCUUCGGUUAAGGUUAGUCCCAAAAAUAAUAUAAAAAGUUAUAUUAAAGCCCAUUAAACAUCCAAAACAGAUAUAUAAUAGCAUGGGCCAAUAAAAAAUUAUAGAUACGUUGGAGACAUAUCAAUUGUCGCUUCCCUUCCACCCCAUUUUUGGGCUGAGGCUGUUUCUGCAUCUACCUACCUCAUCAACAUUCAGCCAUCGACUGCUCUGCAGGGUGGUAUUCCUAUGAAGUGUCUCAUUGGUCGUUCUCCUAACUACUCCGCCCUUCACAUGUUUGGAUGUGUGUGCUAUGUCCUUCUUGCUCCACGAGAAAGCACCAAACUGACUGCUCAGUCAGUUGAAUGUGUUUUCCAUGGCUACAGUGAUGAGCACAAGGGCUAUCGCUGUUGGGACCCUGUUGGUCGUCGCUUGCGCAUUUCGCGUGAUAUGACCUUUGAUGAGUCUCGCUCCUACUACCCACGUCCUUCUUCCUCGAGCUUCUCUGUGGAUGAUAUUUCUUUUCUUCUCCUUCCCGAUACACCUUGCUAUGUGCCUCAUGUUUCACCUCUCCCUCCUGCACCUCUCAUUCAUUCUCAUUCACCACCAACACCAUCUUCCCCAUCCUCCUCUUCCACCUCUCCACCAUCAUCUCCAGUUUGUGGCCCUCUCUCCCCGUUUACUCUUCACUAUACUUGUCGCCCUCGUGCUGAGGAUGUUUCCUCUGACGCGCCUUCCAUCUCUGGUGCACCUCUGUUCCCGCCUCCCCUGNNNNNNNNNNNNNNNNNNNNNNNNNNNNNNNNNNNNNNNNNNNNNNNNNNNNNNNNNNNNNNNNNNNNNNNNNNNNNNNNNNNNNNNNNNNNNNNNNNNNNNNNNNNNNNNNNNNNNNNNNNNNNNNNNNNNNNNNNNNNNNNNNNNNNNNNNNNNNNNNNNNNNNNNNNNNNNNNNNNNNNNNNNNNNNNNNNNNNNNNNNNNNNNNNNNNNNNNNNNNNNNNNNNNNNNNNNNNNNNNNNNNNNNNNNNNNNNNNNNNNNNNNNNNNNNNNNNNGCCUGAUCGCUAUUCUCCUGAUCGGUACAGUCUCUCUGUUAUUGUUGAGCCCACUUCUAUCAGACUGCCAUGACUCAGCCUGAAUGGCAGCUUGCGAUGGCCGAAGAGCUUGCUGCCCUUGAGCGCUCUGGCACAUGGGAUCUGGUUUCUCACCCUUCCGGAGUUCGUCCCGUCACCUGCAAGUGGGUCUACAAGAUUAAGACUCGCUCUGAUGGUUCUCUUGAGAGGUACAAAGCUCGUCUUGUGGCUCGUGGUUUUCAGCAGGAGCAGGGAAACGAUUAUGAUGAGACAUUCGCUCAUGUGGCCCACAUGACCACUGUCCGCACUCUCCUUGUUGUGGCUUUUGUUCGUCAUUGGUCUAUCUCUCAACUUGAUGUCCAGAACACCUUUCUCAAUGGCAAGUUGCGUGCUUAGGUUUAUAUGCAGCCACCACCGGGGUACUAUGCUCCUGAUGGUAUGGUAUGUAGACUUCGCCGCUCCCUCUAUGGCCUUAAACAGGCUCCUUGCACAUGGUUUGAGUGCUUUGCCUCUGUGGUGACUGCCACUAGUUUCUUGCCCAGUGAUCAUGAUUCCGCAUUGUUUGUUCACAAGUCUCCUUGUGGUCAGACUCUUCUCCUUCUCUAUGUUGAUGACAUAAUCAUCAUUGGUGACGACUCUAACUACAUUGCCUUUGUUAAGGCUCGCUUUCGCGGCUAGUUCCUCAUGACUGAUCUUGGUCCACUUCGCUAUUUUCUUAGGAUUGAGAUCUCCUCGACCUCUUAUGGCUUCUGCAUACCCCAAGAAAAAUAUAUUCAGGAUCUUUUGUGACUCCUAUGGAGCUCAACGUUCAGCUUCGUGCCUCUGAUGGUGACCCUCUUCCUAAUCCCACUCGCUAUCAUUACUUGUUGGCAGCCUUAUCUAUCUUGCUGUUACGCGUCCUGACAUCUCCUAUCCUGUCCACAUUUUGAGUCAGUUUGUUUCAGCCCCCACCUCUGUCCACUAUAGUCACCUUAUCCGUAUUCUACGAUAUCUUCGUGGCACGAUCUCUCAGCGCCUUUUCUUUCCCCGCUACAGCUCUCUUGAGCUCCAGCCCUACUCUGAUGCUACCUGGGCUAGUGAUCCCUCUGAUCGACGCUCGCUGUCUGCUUACUGUGUCUUUCUUGGUGGCUCUCUUAUUGUCUGGAAGACAAAGAAAUAGACUGUUGUUUCUCGCUCGAGUAUGGAGGCUGAGUUGCGGGUCAUGGCUAUGUUGACGGCUGAAGUGAUCUGGUUGCGGUGGUUACUUGAGGAUUUUCGUGUGUCUGCUACUACCUCGACUCCCUUACUGUCAGACAAUACCGGUGCUAUCAGUAUUGCGCGUGACCCGGUGAAGCAUGGGCUCACUAAGCACAUCGGUGUGGAUGUCCACUUUGUGCGUGCUGCUGUGCAGGAUCAGACUCUCGCUCUCCACUAUGUGCCCACUGAGUCACAGUUGGCGGACUUCUUCACGAAGGCACAGACUCGAGCGCAGCANNNNNNNNNNNNNNNNNNNNNNNNNNNNNNNNNNNNNNNNNNNNNNNNNNNNNNNNNNNNNNNNNNNNNNNNNNNNNNNNNNNNNNNNNNNNNNNNNNNNNNNNNNNNNNNNNNNNNNNNNNNNNNNNNNNNNNNNNNNNNNNNNNNNNNNNNNNNNNNNNNNNNNNNNNNNNNNNNNNNNNNNNNNNNNNNNNNNNNNNNNNNNNNNNNNNNNNNNNNNNNNNNNNNNNNNNNNNNNNNNNNNNNNNNNNNNNNNNNNNNNNNNNNNNNNNNNNNNNNNNNNNNNNNNNNNNNCCCCAUUGUAUAAGGGGUUUUCUGCAUUUUACCACACAUGUAUAUGUAAUGGCCUUUGACCCUCCGUAAAUACUAGUUGUUGUUUAUCCAACAAAUGUCAUGUCCGGUACGGACUAGGAGCAGUCACCGAUACCGACUAGGUAUUGUAAUAGGCUACGUUAGCUAAUAUAAAUACCCGGGUAGCCCUACGUUGUAAUAUCAGAUCGAAAAGCAAUAAACACAUAGGACCGACACGGUCCUAUUAGCCAUCAAUCUCAAGUUCUCGUGUGCGUGUCUUGCAUAGCCAGACGUCUCGCCGGAUUGUUUCUGGUGUGCCUGGUUAGCUACGGCUGCUGCGUACGUGCGCGUCUCCGCGGAAAGUACUCGUCGGAGUUAGUAAGUACGGGACCAAGGCCAACACUAUUAACAAUGCCAAGAGGCCAAAGUUACAGAUUCAACGGUCUCCCAUGAAUAAGAAGAGAAAACCAAUGAUAAAAGCAUACUGUAAAUUUUUAGAAAUGCUGAAUAAAUUGUGGCAUGCACAUUUUAAAACAUGCUAGUUUGUGUUCUUCGCAAAGAAAAGAAAAAAGAACAAGAGUUACUUAGUGCCUAGAGUCGCAACUUCUUUUGUGCAGUUAAUUUGUCCAUUUUCCACAGGCCUCACGAAUACAUUUGUUUGCAUCAAGCUUAAAAUCUGCACAUGAUACUUUAGUCAUGUGUAUGUAUGAUCUCCUGGGACUUGAAAAAACAGAAGAAGAAAAAUACAGCCAGGCGCCCAAGCUCACCUAGUAGUUUCCGGCUACACGGCGCCAGAGACAGAGGCCCAAAGAAAGGCUGAUUGCUCCAGCAAACGGCUGUAAGCUGCUCCACCGACCCUAAAACGAACCACGGGCUGGAAGUGUCCUGCUUUUUUCUUUCUUUCUUUCUUUCUUUAAAACGGAUGUGUCCUGCUUCUGGUGUGUGGUCAAUUGGAGACGCUUCAGCAUAGCAACUUAUCUUCGAUGUGUUUUGGUGCUGCAAAACACCACUGAGUGACCCAGUAGCUGUGAUUAUGGGGUUCCUUGAUGGAACUGAAGUUACCCUGAAGGCAUGUGAUUGCUGAAAAUGUCUUGCCCAUUUCUCACGAAUUUGUUGGCAGUAGCACACUCUGCUACUGUUUUUUUGCUUCAAACUUUUUUGCCAGUCUCUAUGUUUUGAACCUACCUUACGACUUUGCUAGUUCCAUGGAGGAUCUGAGACGAUGAAUAAUAACAUGGCAAAAACAUAUGGACCGACCAAGUGGCACAUUUUGACACCAACCUCGGUGUUAUCCCAGAGAGAAACGAACAGAACACACCAGCAUUUGGCAAUGACCAUAAGAUCAACCCUUGAUGCAAUGAUAUACUUGUGGCGAACUUGCAAUCAAGAAUUGGACCAGCAUGUCAAUGGACCUCUUGUAGUCUUGUAUACAUACAUAUAUUGCAUAGUCCAAAACGGAUGAACACCAGCUGAGGUCCAACAUUUGCCACAGGUUGGCAUUGACUGUUACACAUGUCACAAAGGUAAUCACAAAAUUCCGGGUACAAUUGAUCCUCUCCUGAUGCGGCGCCGGUCACAAAGAGCAAAACGGUAAAACAAAUGGAACAGCACAAUACAUAUGAGCAAAUACAUAUCACUUUCUAUCUAGCCAGUUUCCUCCACACGGUGCGACCACGGUUGAUCUCGUCCCCAGCCCC